RNAcentral lists this long non-coding RNA (67617 nucleotides) under Oryza sativa (Asian cultivated rice). RNAcentral describes it as "long non-coding RNA (OSAT_LNC001685)". The record is from RNAcentral. Lineage: Eukaryota; Viridiplantae; Streptophyta; Magnoliopsida; Poales; Poaceae.
GAAGCUCUUCCUGCGCGACGCCGACGCCGCUGAGGUGCUCGAGAUAUCCCUCCUAAACUCCACGGUGAUCGUCAGCAGCGCCGUCCGGUACGACGCCGCCAAAGGCGAGGGCGCGUGGGGCCGCGGCCUCGCCGGCGCGUUCCGCCUCAGGGAGCGGCGGAACCGGCUCGUCGUCGUGGGGUGCAACCUGCAGGCCGUCCUCCUGGACGGCGACGACAUCGCCGCCGCGUGCACCACCAUCUGCGGCGGCGCCGGCGCCACCUGGCCAGCAGCGGCCGACGGCGAGCUCGCGGAUUACUCGUGCGCGGGCGUUGGCUGCUGCCAGGCUUCCAUCUACCUAGGCCUCACGUCGUACGGCGUUCGGCUGUCGCCGUUCGGCACAAGCACCGGGCCGCCGCCGCCGCCGCCGACCUCCUCCGCCUCGUCGUCUAACCAAUCGGAUUCGGCUCUCGUGUUCGUCGCGGACAACGAGUGGUUCGGCGGGAACGCGAGUAAGCUCGGAUCAGCAGCAGCGACGAUGCGACCGGGCGGCGGCGGCAUGCCGGUGGCGCUGGCCGUGCUCGACUGGGCGAUCGGGAAGUCGGGGUGUCCGCCGCAUGGGCCCGACGACACGGCCUGUAGCAGCAGCAACAGCUACUGCCGCAACUCUACCAGCACCUCGCUUGGCGGCUACUCGUGCCAGUGCGACAACGGGUACCAAGGCAAUCCGUACGUUGCAAAUGGAUGUCAAGGUAAUUUGUUACUCCCUACUUCCCUAAAUGUUUGAUGCCGUUGACUUUUUAAAACAUGUUUAACCGUUCAUCUUAUUUAAAAACUUUUGUGAAAUAUGUAAAACUAUAUAUAUACAUAAAAGUAUAUUUAACAAUGAGUCAAAUGGUAGGAAAAAAUUAAUAAUUGCUUAAUUUUUUUGAAUAAGACGAACGAUCAAACAUAUUUCAAAAAGUCAACGGCGUCAAACAUUUAGGGAUGGAGGGAGUAUAAGGGUGUAACCAUGUAAGUGGAGAAACAACUGAGGGUCUUCUGAUUAGCUUCACAAGGUGGUGGGCUAGCUGUUCUGGGUUCGAUGCCUCACCCUUCUAUUUAGUUUGAUAUUAAAUCAUUUCCUAAUAUUUUAGCUUAUAAGUGUGUUUAACGGAUUAGUCAUUUACACUUGAAGUUGCAUAAGUAUAGCCUCUCAUCGUUUGCUUGCUAGAUUAUGAGCCGCGGCUAAAAUUUAAAACCUAAUUUUAAAGUUGAUUUUAGUUUUCUUAUUAUAGUCAAUCUUUUGCCGUUAAAAUUUUAAACCGCUAUUAAUAGUUUUAUUUAUAAAUUAUUUUUGUUCGUUUAGUAUAUUUUUCUAUGGCUUACCAACCAUAGUUCAAAUGAUUAGUGGAAUUUAGAACAGAAUGGUACAAAAUUUUUCUAAAUUCUCCCUUUCAGAUAUCGACGAGUGCGCUCUGCCAGAAGAAUAUCCCUGCUACGGUGAAUGCACAAACAAGCCAGGAUCGUUUUCGUGCAUGUGUCCGGGUGGGACGCACGGUGAUGCUAUGAACGAAGGAGGAUGUGAACCAACGAGUACAUAGAAAUUUCUCUUCAUUUCAUAACUUAAAUUUAUCCUUGCAAUCUUCUCUGCAAAUCCUUGCACAAACAGGGUUCAGAAAUUUGACCGUAUCUUCUGCUGGCAGCUCUCCUUGUGGCGAUAGGAGGAACCAUCGGCAUAGGAAUUCCAUCCGUGUUCGUGAUAGGCAUGGCAAUGACGAACAUGAUCAAGGCACGGAGGGCCAAGAAACUGAGAGCCGUAUUCUUCAAGCAGAACCGGGGUUUACUGCUGCUGCAACUUGUUGAUAAGGUGAUUGCUGAAAGGAUGGUGUUUACCUUGGAAGAGCUCGAAAAGGCAACAAAUCGAUUCGACGAGAUGAGAAAGCUCGGCAGCGGCGGCCAUGGCACUGUCUACAAAGGCACCUUGCCAGACAGACGUGUCGUUGCCAUCAAGAAAUCGAAUAUUACGGUUCGUAAGGAGAUCGAUGAUUUCAUAAACGAAGUUGUCAUUCUUUCGCAGAUCAACCAUCGGAAUGUUGUGCGGUUAUUCGGAUGUUGCCUUGAAACACAGGUUCCACUACUGGUCUACGAGUUCAUAUCGAACGGCACUCUUUCCGACCAUCUCCAUGUUGAAGGCCCUACAUUGUUGUCAUGGAAAAAUAGAUUGAGGAUUGCUCUUGAAGCUGCAAGCGCUUUAGCCUACUUACAUUCAUCCGCUUCAGUAUCAAUAAUUCAUAGGGAUGUUAAGUCUGCUAACAUAUUGCUUGAUGGUCGCUUAACAGCAAAAGUUUCGGACUUUGGAGCCUCUCGAGGCAUUCCGGUUGAUCAAGGUGGUGUGACAACAGUGAUCCAAGGCACAUUUGGAUAUCUUGAUCCUGAAUACUAUCAAACAAGUAGAUUGACCGAUAAGAGUGAUGUGUACAGUUUUGGUGUCAUACUCGUGGAGAUGCUCACAAGGAAGAAGCCUACUGUUUUUGAAUCAUCAGAUAAUGUCAGCCUAAUUGCACUUUUUAAUUUGCUAAUGGUACAGGACAACAUCUACGAGAUAUUAGACCCUCAGGUAAUUUCGGAGGGCAUGGAAAAUGUGAAAGAAGUCGCGGCGCUAGCAUCGGCAUGCCUAAGAUUGAAGGGGGAAGAGAGGCCAACAAUGAGGCAAGUGGAGAUAAGGCUGGAAAGGCUGUUAGGCGGUGACAUUUUGCAAGGGCUUUCAGCUGAGCUGCACUGUCUACCACCUCAACUGAGCAAUACCGACACUACUAGCAAGCUAUACAACAUGGAGCGGGAUUUUUUGCUAUCGUCGAGCUUCCCACGGUGAUCUUACUACAUGUGUACAAACUACAUACAACUUUACCACUUAAAGUUGUUUAGCAUGUGUUUGAUUUGAAGAUGAGGUGAGAUGUGUUAGAUGAAUUGGGAUCACCUGCAGUGGCUAUAGAAAGUGAUAUCCGAAACCUUCCUGAAUCAACUCAAAAAAAAAAAAAAAAGAAAUCUUCCUGAAUACUGUUCACAAAAGACAGUACCAAGGUUUCUCCUGUAGGCUGUAGCUAGAACUGUAGCAGAUAAUGUUUAAAACUACACUGUAGCGUCGGUUUCAGUCGUUAUUGUCUUGAUCCAAGGAUGGAAAAGAGUUUCUACUGGCAAAGUUGCAGUCUCUGUUAUGACUGCAUUGGAUCUUUAUCCUGAUCCCAAUUAUUCAUUUGACAUGAGUCAUGACCUCGUGAUGUAAUACAACCCUACAACUACAAGCAGCUCUGUAGCAUCAAUGUUGCUGCCUCUGCCGCUGCCGCUUCCACAACUCCCAUGGCUUUCUUUGUUGAUCUUGCCUCUAGCAGUACUGAAGUACAAAUACUGCGUAAUUUCAGGUUGAUACAGAAGAUGUUCAGUUUUGCUAUUUCCAGCGACUUGUUCCAAGUCCAUGUCACAUCGGAUAUUUGGACACUAAUUUGGAGUAUUAAACAUACACUAAUUACAAAACCCAUUUCAUAAGCUUGGACUAAUUCGCGAGACGAAUCUUUUGAGUCUAAUUACGUCAUGAUUUUGACAAUGUGAUGCUACAGUAAACUUUUGAUAAUUAUGGAUUAAUUAGGCUUAAAAAAAUCAUCUCGCGGAUUAGCUCUUAUUUAUGAAAUUAGUUUUUUUAUUAGUCUAUGUUUAAUACUCUAAAUUAGCGUCCAAACAUCCGAUGUGACAUUUGGUCGAGUAGAUGCCUGUGAAAAGUACAAGUAAAGAUCAAUAAUAGUAUAAUACCAUUUGGGCUAAAUCAUAAUUUCGAUCUGAUUCGUAAUAUGAACUAGAUAAAUACUCUGUCACGUUGUUGCGGGAAAUUAAGUUGCACAAUAUGUACAAAUAAGAUGAAAUAUGAAUAUUAAAAAUAAAACAAAAUGGUACUUAUGAAUUUUGAGGCCUAAAAAUAAUUGAGAUUACUUGGUGUUAUGAGAGAAGAAAGAAGAGACACUGGUCGUGACACUAUCGUGAAGUCGUGACACUGGUGACUUGGAUAAUUUGGAAGGAACAGAACAACCGAAUCUUCAAUCAACAACAAAGGUCUUGGACCGAAGUGGCGAAAGCAAUGGCAGAGGAGGCCAUGCUUUGGAAGUCGGCUAAUCACGGGAUCCCCGCUGUUUGGCCUUUACGAGGUCGUGGUAGCCAAAUUUAGCGCGAGAUAUUCCUAUAGUUUUUCAUAGUAUCCUGUAUUGGUCCCCUGCUUGUUUUCCUUUUAUCAUUGUAAAUAACUUUUAUUUCUCUUAAUGAAAAAAAUGCGCUCCUUGCGUAUUCCCGAAAAGAGAGAAGAAAGAAGACAAUUUGAACCAUAGAUCUAUCAUCCAAUGGCUAAAAAUAAUUGGAGUGACGUGACUUAAUGAUAGAAGAGAGAAAUAACAUUAAUUACACUUAGUGGGGAUGAACUAUAUAAGCAUAUAGGAUUCCACAUAAAACAAUGGUUUUUAUUGAUUAACUAUGCAGGAUAUUCUAGUAACUGGUAAAUCGCCAGAAUAGCAGUAUGCAUGCGUAUGAGUGACGCUUUCACGUUUCAACUUUCAAGCAUUUCACUACCCCACAAUUUAAAAGGCAUGCAUCUAACAAUAAUACACCAAGAUGAGUAAACACCAAUGAUGUUGGGACAGUGAAGAAACCUAUACCUUUUGACCUUUCACUCUUAGUUUGUACUAAGAGUUUGUACUAAGGCUUAUUCACUUUGCUAUCAUUUUUAACUUUACCAAGUUUUAGCAUUGCUAAAUUUAGAUAAGGUUAUCAAAAUUUUGGCAAGGUUGCCAAAUUUUGGCAAAAUUUCAUAUGUACUUACUAAAAUUUGACAACAACUAAAUGUAGCCACUUUUUGGGUAAUUUUGCAAAAAACAAAAGGUAAGGUUGAAAAUGGUAGCAAAAUGAACAAGCCCUACAAUUAAGUGGAUGCGCGCAACAAACAAUAUAAGGAUUUAGUAUGAGUGUUAAACAUAUAAUUUUACAGAGAACAUGCAAACGUUGAAAAUUAUACUUAUGAACAAACAACUCAUUUGUGAGAAAAAAGUCAGCACACAAAACUACAUUCAAUAAGCGAGAAAAACAUUAAGUUCAUGAACAUGUAUGAACCAUCAUAGCAACGAUCUGGCCUAUCAUGAACGCCUGGUAACCCAGCUGCUUUCUUAACAAAAUGUGACUGGGUUUAAAUCUACCUAAUAAAAAAACACUUAUGUGUUUACAUAUAACUAAGACAAAGUGAUUUCUGUUAGAAUAUGAUAGCCAUUUUCAUUUAGUGCAUAUCUUUGAUCUAUUUAAAUAUUUUUUUCUUUAAACAUUAUAUAUUAAUCUAGGGCUCUUAUAAUGAAUAUAGCAAGAUAUGAUUUCUUUUAGUAUUCUUUUUAUGAACAAUAAAUAAAUUGCCCACACAUCUGCAUAGGCUUCCUCUGUAGUUGCUAAAAAAACCUCCAAAGUGUUUGGGCCACGUCUUUUCCCCCUAAAACGUACCCCUUCUAGCCUUCCGUCUCAUAAAAAACUCAAUCCUAACUACGAACCUUGACACGCAUUUAUUCAGAUUCGUAGUUAGGAUUUAUUUUUUAGACAAAGUUGUAUAUGCUAAUGUCAUAACUAAAAAUUAUUUUUCAAGUUAAUUUUGAUGUUGUUAUCUUACUUUUUUUUCUAACGUUGGUGUUAAAGUCAUUAAGAAUACAUUGGUAAAAGUUUUAAUCAUAAAUUAUUUUUUAUCGUUAAAAUGUUGUUUGGCGUAUCAUUUGCAAUUGGCCAACCAAUGACAACCUUUAUCUUUCAAAACUUUUAAUUUUGUUUCCGUCGGAUUUAUCUUCCAAAACAAAAAGGAAAAAAACAAAUCAGUUUUUAUCUUCCAAAACUUUCAAUUUUAUGACCGGCGACAUUCGUUCCAGGAGAAAACAAAAGGGAAUCAAACCCUCGACCAGCAAGUUGCAAAGUUCCAUCUCUAGCCAUCUGGAAAUAUGGUUGGUUUUAAUUAGUUAUAUGCGAGUUACGUAUAAGUUACAUUAUAAAUAGUUAAAAAAUAUAAUUACAUCUCAUUUACACUAUAGUUAUAUUUGAAAGUUUUUUUUACCCCAAAAUUAUCAAAUGUUUAUAUAGCUAUUUGCCAAAGUGGUUAAUCUCUAUAUAUCACGUUUAGAGUUAUAUUACCAUGUUUUGCCACUUUCAUCGUAUUGCCAACAUAGACCGAGGAUGGAAAACAUUCUCUUUGUCCCGUCUUCUCCAUCAUCUUCUUUUCAAUCUCUCCUAAUGCACAACUGAUAGUCUAGGAGAGCAACGGAGAACCAGUUGCCUCCUCUCCUCUAGCUCCUCCAUCUCUUCUCUCUCAUGCGUGCGCAUUGCUAUUGUCGUCGUCUCAAUCUUUAUCUUGAGCCUCUUGGCGUCCUCACAAGGUGGCUAUUUGAGCAGUGUAGGGGAGUUAUUGGGGUAGGGCGUGGUCACAGUCGUAAGCGAAGAGAGGAGAUGAGGCGGCCGCUCGAGCUCGGUGCCGCCGCGUGCACAACUCCUUUCCCGUCGGUCGUCGGCCCCCAACCACUGACCGCUGCCCUUCUCCUCGGCGUGUGGCCGCCCUGGAAAGAUGGGGAAGAGCGGGGAAACCAAUAAGACAGGUCCUUGACAUGUGGGGGUGACAUGUCACACGCUGACUCAGCCUCGCCAUGUUAGUCGAAAUUUUUAAGUUCUAUACAAACUUAUAACUUAUGCUAUACUAAGUCGGAUAUGUAAAUUAUUUUUAGAGUAAAUCUCAUAAAACUACAAUUACUUUAGCCAAAUUAUCAGAAAACUACAAAUUUAACAUGAUGUAUCACAAAACUACAUAUUUAACCCUAAAUUUAUCACAUAACUACAUAUUUAAGUUGGAAUAUUGCAAAACUACAAAUUUAGUAACAAACUUAUCACAAAACUACAUGUUUAAUGUCAAUUUGAUCGCAAAACUUGAAUAUUUAUAACCCAAACGUAACAUUGGUGCUAAGGAUUUAAACCGAAAAUCUAUAGUUUUGUGAUAAUUUUAUUAUUAAAUCUGUAGUUUUAAGGUAAUUUGACCAAAGUAUCUAUAAUUUUCUAAAAUUUACUCUUAUUUUCGUUAUAAAAAAAUCUAGUUUGUGGAGCCACCAAAUAAGCUCUGAAACACAGCUAGACCCGUUAGACACUUCAACGAUCAAACAAUAGGGAAGUCUCCAUUUGUGAAAUCUGUGGUUGCCGACAAAAGAAAUAUGUGGCGUGGCUUCACUUCUCAAGUUUUAGAUGGCGGGGCAGGAGCACUUAGGCCGUCGGUUGGGGAAGAGAGGUAGAGGGGAAGGAGGUUGGUCGGGGUGGGGGGAGGGGGGGCUCACCUGCAUCGUUGACCCCUUCCUGCCAGCCGACGAGGCUGGGUACUGGCGGAGUGUGGGGCGGGACGGCGAAGGCAUCGCACGCGCACGAGCUCGCGAGAGGUGGCGGCGGUGCUGGAAUGAUGAGGGGGGAAGGGGGUUAGGGAUAGAAAUAUUACACACGAAAUCAGAAAUCUUAAAAUGGUCCAACGGUCUAGAAUUUGUAUGAUUUGUGAGAUGUUUUUCUGUCAUAUGUCAUCUAGACAGUCCCAUAUUUCAUUAGAAAUACACAAGUGCUCUCUCUUGCACACUGAUGUGUGUGAUCUCACUCUCAGAUGGUGACAACGAAUGGGCUACGAACUGUAUGCUUUCCAUCCGACCACGUUAUUGACCCAAACAGGUCCCCUUUGGCCGCCGCCGCGGCGUUCUUGCCGGAGAAGGACACCUGGAAACCCAGCUUCUUCACGCUCUUAGUGAACUCCAGCUUGCCGGGCACCACCUUCACGUCCAGGCCGGCCGGCGCCGCGACGGCGACGGUGUAGGUCGCCUCCUGCUGCGCGCCGACGUUGGUGACGACGCGGCUCACCGUCCUGGUGCCGCCGGCCUUGCCGAGCCCCGUGACGGCGAUCGACGGGUAGUUGAGGCCGGAGAUGAGGUCCUUGCUGUCGCUGGCGUUGCCGCCGGCGCCGCAGCUGAAGCCGCCGGGGAGGGAGGCGGCGACCAGCUUGAUCUGGGACGCGUCGUAGCCGUAGUCGCAGAGGAACUGGAGGUAGUCCUCCUCGCCGAGCUCGUACACCAGCCCGGCGUCCAGCGCGGCGGCCGGGUUCACCUGGCCCGCGCCGUGGUCGUACGGCGUCGCCGGCGACCCCGAGUCGGUCGUCACGGCCGCCCCGUCGUUGUUCAGCUGGGCCGCCGUCGUCAUGAUCGCCGACCGGAUCGCCGCAGGGCUCCACGCCGGGUUCCACGCCCUGACGGCGGCCGCCGCCCCGGCCACGUGCGGGCAGGCCAUGGACGUCCCCGACACGAGGUUGAACUGCGACGGCUUCUCCUCGCCGGCCGGGAGCGUCGACGUCGGGAUCCAUGACGCCAGGAUGUUCACCCCCGGCGCCGCCACGUCCGGCUUGAGGAUGUUGGGCGUCUGCGGCGACGGGCCUCUCGAGGAGAAGUAGGCGACCACCGGCGCCGGCUUGUACUCCGUCACGGUGAUCGUCGGCGUGAUGGUCACGACAGGCUCACUUUGCAGUUUAAUUGAUCACCAUGCACGGAAGAGAGAGUGAUGUGAUGAGAUCGAUCGAGCUUAAUUAAUUCUGCCACUAAUUAGGGUAUACUUCAUCCAUUUUUUUAAUAUAUAACACCAUUGAUAUUUUAAGAUAUAUUUAACCAUUCAUUUUAUUAAAAAAUAAUGUAAUUAUCAUUUACUCCCUCUGUCCUAAAAAUAUAACAACUUUUAACAUUUAGAAUUUGUCUCAAAAUAUAAUAACUUAUAUACCAGCAUUUUCUUCUCAACCAAUUACAAUCCUCUACCAUUUAAUUUUCUCACAUACCUUCACUUCUCAUCUAAUCGUAGCCUAAUCCUAUUUAGUUAUAUCUAUUUUCUUAAUAGUUGUGUUCAACUCUAAGAAUAUAUGCUUAUAUUAUAGGAGAGAGAGAAUAUUGUAAUGUAACUUGAUUUAUUACCAAAUGUUUUAUAAAUAUAACUUAAAUAUUUUUCUAUUUGAAAAAAAAAUAAAGGUGAAUGAUUAAAUGAUUGUUAAAAAGUUAACGAUGCCAUAUAUUAAAAAACGGAGGUAGUAUAUAAUCGCUAUAGUGUGAAGGACUACGUAUAGUACCUGGUGGAGGAGAUAUACUUGUGAAUGUCGGCGGCGGCGUUGGAGGUGAUCUCCGUGACAGGGAAGUCGAUGUAGGCGGUGGCGACGGCCUUCUCAAGGUCGUCGACGAGGACGGCGCCAACCGCGCCGGCGCUCUUGAGCUCCCCGACCUUCUCCGUCUUGGGCGUGUCGCUGUUCCGCGAGUGGUGACACAGCACGAUCUUCCCUUUUAUCUUGCUCGCAUCCAGCGUCCCCGGCUCACAGUGACUACAAAUUAUUUUGUGGUUAUGAUUUGAUUUUUGGGCAUGAAACUACUUACUCAGAUUCUGCUGAAACUUUCUGUUAAUUUAAUUUUGUUUCGUUACUAAGCUUGCCUUGUAGUACGUACCUUGCUGACUCGGUAUCAGAAACUGAGCUGGACUUGGCUGAUUCACCGGUGAUCAAUGGAUAUUUUGGUGAUUUGUUCAAGUUGGAGAAGUUUAUAGCUCCACCCUACAGAUUCCAUAAAAAUGGGGUAGUUAAGAUCACAAGAGAGUGCUCCCACAAGGAUUUUAGACGGAUGAGAUAUUAGAAAUAGAUGAGAUUUUUUCUAAUACAACGAAUCUGGGAAAAAGAACAUGUCCAGAUAUAUUUAAUUUUGUGAUAUAUACCUUGACAGCGGUGUUGUUGCCGCCGAGCACGACGUCCGAUUGGAAGUAGCGGUCGAUCGUGCUCGCCGCGACGGUAAGGAUCCACGGCGCCGCGUUCACGACGGUGGCGGCGUCCGGCCCUGCGUUGCCGGCGGAGCAGACGACCAUGAUGCCCUUGGCCACGGCGUGGAACGAGCCGAUGGCGAUGGGGUCGUCGGAGAAGUCCGGGCGGAAGUAGGGCGACGCGCCGAGGGAGACGGAGAUGACGUCGACGCCGUCGGCGACGGCGUCGUCGAACCCGGCGAGGAUGGCCGACCCGGCGCACCCCUCCCCGGAGCAGACGCGGUACAUGGCCACCCUCGACGACGCCGACCCGCCCUUGGCCGUCCCCGCCGCGAGGCCGUAGUACGACGCACCGGUGACCGCGUUCCCGGCCGCCGUCGACGAGGUGUGCGUCCCGUGCCCGGCCUCGUCCCGCGGCGAGCUCCCGCUGCUCCGUGCUGACUGCCGCUUCGCCUCGCCGCCGACAUCGUAGUACCUUGCUCCUAUCAGCUUCCUGCAUGCGCCGCCCGGGAAACAUCAGGAUAUAUACUCUCCGUUUCAUAUUACAAGUCAUUUGUAAUGACUUUUUUCUUAGUUAAUUUUUUUAAGUGACCAAAUUAUACUACUUCCGUUUCAGAUUAGAAAAUGUUUUGACUUUGGUCAAAAUCAAACUACUCUAAAUUUGACUAUCUUUAUAGAAAAAAGUAUAAUAUUUACAAUACCAGUAUAAUUUCGUUAAAUCUAUAAUUGAAUAAAUUUACAUAAUAUAUCUGUCUUGAGUUAAAAAUAUUACUAUUUUUUCUAUAAAAUUAGUCAAAAUUAGAGUAGUUUAAUUUUGACCAAAGUCAUAACCUAAAACAGAGGGAGUAGAAGUAGUAAAUUUUCAAUGUAAAACCAACAUUGUAUCAAAAUAUACGUCAAAUUAUGAAACUAAUUUUGUAUCAUAAAUGUUGCUAUUUUUUUAUAAACUUAAUUAAACACAAAAGUUUUAACUAAGAAAAAGAAAAUCAAAUUUCUCUGGCAUAGGCGUCGGCGACUCACCGGUUGCAGCUGGAGGAGUUGAAGUCAUCGCCGGCCAUGCAGACGCCCUUCCACCUGGCGGGGACAGGGCCAAAGCCGGCGUCGUCGAAGCUCGGGGACUCGGGCCAGACGCCGGAGUCGAGGAGGCCGAUGAUGGUGUCGGCCGUCGGGGACGACGACGUCGACGCUGAUGCUGCGGCGGCGCGGGCGCGGGGCGAGCGGCGGCGGCGGUGGGCGGAGCCGCCAGUCUUGACGUCGACGGCGGCCGUCGUCUGCUGCUGGAGGAAGUCCCAUGACCUGGUGGUGUGGAGGUGGUAGACAGGGUCGGCGAAGACGGAGACGACGCCGGGCUUCCGGCGGAGCGCGGCGGCCUCCGCCGCUGACAGCCGCGCGGCGAAGCCGGAGAAGGCGUACUUGUACUGCUGCACCACCACGCUCUCCACUGGCUGCCCCCUGUUCGCGUAGUGCACACAUGACACGGUUACUAACGUGUGGCACAAUGACGUCGACGUGACGUGACACACGCAACACACGUGUUGCGUUGGUGAUCACUUUGUGCUACUGAGGUUUCCUUUUACCAAUAAUAUGCAUCCCAAUAUCUUUGGGCAUAAAAUUCAGAACCGUUUGACGAAAAUUCUCUAUCUCCAUAUCUACUUCUUUAUCUUUAUCUUUAUUUUUUCUAUUAUCAAAAUUGAAAAUAAAUUUGUCGGUACUUUGAUACGUUAUCCGUGUUUUAGUCGGUUUUUAAAUUUAUUUGCUUUUGAAAAUAUAGAAGAAGUCAUAUAAAAAAUAUCCAAGUAAAUUCUCACAUUUUAUUUCACCAUAAUUAAGCCAUAUAACGAUAGUAAGAUUAAAAUAAUCUUCAACCAUUGAAAAUAGUUAAAGAGAAAGACAAUGUUAAAUUAACAAGAAGUGCAACACUGUAGCAAAGUGAGAGAAGUGUACACGGGUUUUUAAAUUAACGUAACAAUGUCUGCUUAUUUUAAUUUAUAUGGAGUUUUUUUUUAGAAAACUGCUACCUCUAUUUCACAUUAUAAGAUGCUUUGUUUUUUUAAGUCAAAUCAUAUAUGUUUGAUCAAGAAAAACAUAUAAAUAGUUUUUAUACUAUACAAUCGUACUAUAUUCAAUAUUUGGAAAAACACUAGUGGUGUGGUAGCGGAGUCGUGAGUGUAUGAUUCUACUAACCAGGGUUCAAAUUCUGGUGCCCACGAAUAUUAUGCACAUGCAUGUAGACUUUUAAUAGAAUUUUAGUGAGAUAAGGGAUAUGUCGAUGGUCUGCAUGUGCUUUUUAACAGGAUUUUUGUUAGAUCAAGGAUGUGCCGUUGGUUUCUAUCUCUUAGAGCAUAUGUUAGGGGGGGGUCCAUUUGUGAGGGUGUGAGUGCGGUGCUGCGUAUGUAGUGGCGUGUGUAUGUCUAUCGUGAUUUUUUUUUAAAAAAUCAGUAUUUAGAUUGAAUGGAACUAACACAGUAUCGUAGAACUUGUUACAUUUUUCCGUAAACUUGACCAAACGUAAAGAAAUUUAACUUUAAAAAAUAAAACAUCUUCUAAUAUAUAAAGAAAUUUAACUUUGAAAAAUUAAAACAUCUUCUAAUAUAAAACGGAGAGAAUAUAUUUAAUGCCAUGCUACAAAUCGGCAAACUGAGCGAGUACCUUCUUAUUGACUGACAUGCAUGCUACUGCUAGCUAGUGCAACUUGAGAGACAUUAGCACCAACAGGAAGAGAGUUAAAAAUUAAUUUAUUUUACGAUGGACCUUUUGAGCACGGCGCCGAUGAGGCGGAGAUGGGUCUGCUGGAGGAUGUUGGGCGAGGUCCGCGGUGGCACGGCGCCCAAGUACACCACGUAUACCCCACGCCGCUCGCCGCCGCCGCCAUUUCCUCCUCCAGCCGCGGCACCACCACCACCGCUGGCGCCGGCGGCGAGCAGCAAGGCCAAGACGAAGCAGAUCAGCGGCAGCAACCACAUGAUUGCUCGUAUAAUUUUUAUUUGUACUGCACCGGCCGGUCAGUUCAAGCUCUGCUCUCUCUCUCUCUCCCCCUCUCUCUCUCUCUGGCCACGAAACGAUCGCACUAUGUAUGGCUGCAUUUAUAAGCGCGCGCGUGCGACGUCGUCACGUCCGUACGUGCCGGUGACCGGAGGUAAUAAGAGCAGUAUAAACAUACGUGAAGGAGAUAAGAGAGAGGAGAGAAGAAAAACGGGUUAUAGAUAUACAUCGCUGUAGCACGAACUUUAAAAUGUAUGUGUAUAUAUAUGUGUGUAUAUAUAUAUAUAUAUAUGAUAUGUAGGACCAAUUAUCAUGGUGUAUUAUAUAUUUGUAAUUAACUAGUAUAAAUUAGUUAUUAGAUAGACUAUAGAUGAUUUAGAGUUAGUAGUUGGCUGGAGUAUACUACUCUUUCUGUUUUACAACGUAAGUCAUUCUAGCAUUUACUAUAUUUAUAUUGAUAUUAAUGAAUCUAGACAUAUAUAUCUAUUUAGAUUUAUUAUCAUUAAUAUAAAUAUAGAAAAUGUUAGAAUGGAAGUAUUGAGGUAGUGGUCGCCUGGUGGGAUCGGAUCGGAUCGGAUCAGCCGGCGCUUGCGCGUGCGUGCGCAUGAUAUGUGGCUGCGAGCGCGAGGGGUAGGUUAAUUGUGGAUCGGGUGCGCCGUGAUGGUGCGUGCACCACUGCGCUGCGCUGGCUAGCUACUCGAGUAGAGUAGAGUAUAGUAUAUCACUAGUCUUGGAGUGCAGCCGCGCACUAGUGCGCGAUCUCACCUUCUCUCGAGCAUGCGCCGAGCCUAAAUAGCUACUAGUAGUAUAGACAAAGUUACCUAGUUGCAUUCUAGUACCAUCCACAUAUUUUUUGUCAGGAUUCAGUAAGUUCAUCAUCAUAUACUCCGCUAAUGUCUGUACCAAAUCCUAAGUGUAAGCAGGCUUAUCAUGUUUGACAUCCCCAACUAGUGACAACAAUAAUAUCACAAGAUGAAUAGUAUCUUUCAAGUUAGUUUGGAAACAUCAAUGACUUCCCCAAACCUAAUCCAAAAUAAGUGUUCUAUCUCUCCUUUACGUUCCUUGAUUCAAUCACCAUAAUUCGUCCUACUUUGACAUGAACAAGGUUUGACACAACCUAGUAUAUGCAAAACAGAUUAUUUUACUUGCCCAACACAAUACGGAGCAUGGACAUAUAUAAGCGCAUUUGCCAUGACACUAUCGUUCAUCACCAAAGAAGAGAGGGAAAAGAUGGGCUCACAGAGCUGUUGCCAUGUUAAAGCACUAUUCAACAGAAUGAAGCCCAGAUGCCUUCAAGAGGAGCAGCAGCAUAACAAGACCAGAACAGUCAAGGCAGAAAUAAGGCAAAACACUCUUCAAGACAUCUUGUAUUCUCCUCAGAGCUUUCAGGGGGAGGCAAUUGGAGCCCCAUCACCUCGGAGGCACUCUCCAAAGGUUUGCCCAAUUAACCCGGAUUGUUCUUAUGAAAAUAAUUCUCCUAACAUCCGGGACAGCUUCUCCAUCGAUAGAAUCUCUAUUAGGAGCCAAAACAGCAUGAGGAGAGUUAGCUUCAGAUUACCUGAUGAAUCUGACAUAUUCAUCAUUCCCGCACGCGAAGAUCCUGAAAGUUGCUCCACUGAUGACGAAUCUGUUGAACAUGUAAGUGAACAAGACAUUGAUGCAAGGAAAAUCCGUUAUGCUAAAACCAGAUACUAGCAGCACUGCCACUGCUCUCAUGUACCUAGCAAAAAAGAAUACAAGAAAAGAAGCUUCAAAGAACAAACUCAUUGGUUGAUCUAUUCCAAAGAAGAUACUCAUGUUAUGCAGUAAUAUUAGUGUGUGCCUGCUUGGGUGCUUGUUGCUUCUCAAGGAUUAUACUGUACGACACUUCAGAACAAACUCGUAACUUAUCUAUUUUUCAAGAGAACGUACUCAUGGUACGCAGUACACAGUAAUAGAAGUGUAUGCCUGCUUGUUGCUUUCAAGGAUGAAACUGUACGAUAUUUUACAACUUAUUGGAUUUCAUGCAGAUGUAUGCGUUUCAUGAUUUCAGUUUAUUUGGCCUUCAGAUUCUCCAACGUAUUGUAAUACCCAGCUUUUUACACCUUUUCUUAUUCUUUUUUUUAGACGGUUAAACAGCAGAAUAGGCUCCUACUGUGAUAUAUUAAAAUAUAAUAUGUACAUGAGAGAGAUAGUACAAGGGGGGGCGGGGGGAAUAAAAAAACAGCAGAAAGAGAGAGAUUUUAGCUAACCUUUUCUUAUUCUGGAAGCUGGAGAGUGUCAAGAAAAUGUUAUGUAUGUUACUGAAUCACCUUUGGCAUGUAUAAUAUAGAUUUUUCCAUCACAAUAAUCAUUUAGUUAUAAUGCUAUAUAAACUUUAUUUUCUAAUAUAGAAAGAUAGGAGAUAUAAAUGCCACAUACAAAAGCCAAACAGCACAAACCUAUUAAUUCUGUCCCUUUUUCCUCAUGAAUGGCCAAUUCCUAGUGUAAGUAACUCAAGUUAUUCUCAGCAAGUAAGGGUGAGAAGCACAGCUGACCUACUUCUAUACACUAUCUAUAGUCAGAUUUGAAGCCUUCCGUCAGUGCAACAACCUUUGAAGAUAACUUUGACUGUAGUUUGGAAACAGCUUGUCUAAUAUCCUACAAAAUAAUCAUUUGGGUCAGAUUAGUCUAGAAUCCGCAACUAUUAUUUUUAGGAAACACUGGAUUCCCAAUGAUUUAUAGGUUAGUGAUUACAUACCUCAAGACUAUAUCGAUUUGAGAAAUGUGUCAGUACAAUGGCUUUGUUUCUAAACCAUUGGGAGUGCUCCAUUAUCUGUAGACGACAUACCAGAUUUGCAUUAAUGCAGUAAUACUUUAUACAGACAUCUCAUUUAACUAUCAGAAUUGUCCCAAAGCUCAUUAGAAUCAUAGCAUGGCAGGGAGAAAGUGACAAGUGCAUCAUCAUUUACCUCAGAGAGAUGCAUGUGGCCAUGCUCCCGAGCAUGAUCAACAUCAAUUUGGUCAUCUAGGAAGGUUGCCUGUGAAAAGGUCAAAUAAUGUUGGUGCCAAAGCAUUCAAUAGGGAGGACAUUUGAAAUUAUUUUGUCAUGUUUCAGAUUUGAUGGACCCUCUGAUCAAAUAAAAAGGAAGUUCUUUUGUUAUUUUACAGUCUGAAGAUGUGACAAAUCAAUAUAAUAGGGUGGUUUUACUUAGACUGCCUUUUACUGUUCUCUGAUAUUUCAAGACUAUAGCUGUAUUAUACUACUCUCCCAAUCCCAUAAUAUAAGGUGUGGUCAAUGUUGGCACGGUCUCCAAAACUAAUCUUUAGCUUAUAAUUUCUCAUAUACUAUAAGAUUUGUAGCAACAAAAUUAUAACCACAUGAAAGUAAAUUUAGAUCUCAAUCUAAUGAUGUAAUCUUUAACAAACAAAAUUCAUUUUCAUAUUAUAUUAAGUGUUGGUCAAAUGUUUUAAAGGUUGAAUCUUGAAAUUCGUGCGCGCCUUAUAUUAUGGGAUGGAGGGAGUAUUAUACUUCACACCCUUUUUGCUGACUUUGACAUGUCCCAUGAGAAUGAUUACAUCUCUAAAUGUGACUGAUUACAUACAGCUGGAACAAAUACUUUUGACAGGCUUGGGAGAAAGGGCAAUAAUCAAGGAAACUAAAAUCUAAAGCCAAUACCUCAGUUAUAAGGACUUUUGCUCUCAGGGCAUCUGCAUUUCGUGGGUCAAGAAUAAAAUCAGACUUUGUGUCACCUGUAAAGGCAACUUCUGGAUAUAGUAUAGUAUCUGUAAUCUGACAGAAAAGAAGGCAGUGAGUAACAGUGCAGAAUAUAUUUCUUAUAUAGAACAGAUUGCUAGCUGACCUCAGCGCCUGAUUGCUUCAUUUUCAUUAUUUGAUUACCCUUCAAGUGAGCAUACUGUUUUUUCAACUUUCUCCGAACAGAGUAGAUGACAUAACCCUGUGAAUGUACACAACCCGCACAAGGGGCGAAAUAGUUAUUAAGCACUAAAUUGUCCAAGAAAGGUGAGAACUAGAACUUUUGGCUUGCUAACUAUACUUAAAUUGACCUAGGGAGUUAUACCUGGCUGGGUAUAGCAUGGUGAGUCUCAAAUGGUCUGGCAACAAGGUCAUUACGUAUUUCAAAUGUCUCCCCUGAAUGCAAUCGUAGAAACAUUAGAAAUAAACAAGGAGAGAGAAACACAGAAAGAAGAGGUGAAACGAGCUCAAACCCAAAUCAAGCGCAACCAAUUCCACUUUAAGGUCGACUUGACUCAUUCUACGAUGGAUUUGAAGUAGAUCCUCAACAUCAUCCUUGAUACAUGGUGGUACAAAUACAACGGGUGGCUUCAAAUUAUAGAGGCCACGAGUUGCUAUGUACAUUGGGAGACCACCCUGAACAAUCAAAAUAACAAAACUGAGGUGGAUAUGGCUGCAUUUAUGUUGUGAUUCUGUUAGAGCAGCAAAUGGAAAAACUGACAGUGAAGCAUAUUCGUCAGUUUAAAGGGAAAAACAUUGGAAAAUUCUCCCGUUGCUAUGCAAAGGAGAAAUAUGUUGGCACAAUCAUGAUUUUCUUGACACCGCUCCAAAGUAAAAGCAGGUAUAGAGCAAGAUGAGACUAUUUAUUAUUUAAGAAUUACACGCAGACUAACUUAGGCCAACUUAUCAGAAGAAUUGGUGAUAAAAAUCCUAUCCAUCACGAAUUCACGAUAGCAUGUUGUUGAACAAAUAAACUAAGCAGACAUUUACUAAAGGCCACAGUCCAAAUAGUAAAUUAAGCAGGCAUUUCCCCGGUGACAAUUCCCUUGAAAUUACUGAAUCAAUCCCCUUACAUCAGCUUUUCUAUGAAACUUCACCGAUGGCGCACCCAAGCUUAGCUAGAGGCGCAGUUGCCUCUACACGAAAUUCACGAAGCACAAGCAGCACAGGAAUGAAUCAAACCAGGACAGGGCUCGGGGCGCUCACGAUGUGGUCGAGGUGGGCGUGGGUGAUGAAGAGGUAGUCCUGGCUCACGGCGAAGAGCGGCCCGCGGCCGAUGUCGAAGGCGACGUUGAGGGACGGCACGGUGACGCAGGUCUCGUGCCCGCCGACGGAGACCCCCUCGAUGGCGUACCCCUCCACCUCCACGCCCUUACGGUGCACCUGCGCGCGCGCCCGGCGGUACUCCUCCUCGUCCGCCAUCGCCCGGUCGAGCACCGACAGCAGCCCGCCGCCCGCUCCACGCCCCCCGCCGCCGCCCUCGCCGGUGCCCGUGGCGACGGCUGCCUUCUUCGCGGCGAGCGUUUGGAACUGGGAGCGGGAGGCUGGGGCGGACGACGACGCGGGGACGAGGAGGCGGUGGGUGAGGCGGAGCGAGGGGAGGGAGAGGAGGGAGGUGGCCGCCAUUUCCGGCGGCGGAGGCGGAGGCGGAGACGAACGGUGGCGACGGCGUCGUGGGGUUUUCUGGGUUUUGGGGGGAACUCGACUCGAGGAUAACGGAGAGUCAUUUUUGCGGGGUAGCCCCUGUCUUAUCCUAAAAUUGUUUUUCCAAUUGGAGGAGGAGGAGGAGGAAGAGAGUCACUGACCCCUGAUUACUCAAGGCCUCAAGGAGCUUCCUGUAAAAUGCCAAAUUCUAUUUGUUUAUUUAUUUAUUUUGAUAGUGUAAAAUGUCAAAUUCAGCUACACUGAAAAUAAAGAGAGAUCAGUUUGUGUUUACAGGUUCAGUGAGGCAGAUUGCAGUGAUAAUUUAUAUCUUACCAAUACAAGAAGUCAGGAAUUGAUACUGGAACGAUGAUACAUUUCCAGAUUAUGGUUAAAUACAGCAAAUUCAGCAUAGAUUACAGAACUGAACACUAUACAGUGGAGUGUACAUUUUUUUUUUUGACAGAACGUGUACAAGUAUAUUGCCAGUUCAUUUGGAAGAAUUGUGGGUACAUCACAACCAACCCACCAUUUCUCCAGUAUAGCAGCAGCCUAUUUCUACAGUUCUAUGGUUCCUAGAUUUACAUAUGUACAACUCCUACGGUUAUUUACAAAAGAACAUUAUACAGCAGAACGAAAUAAUGCUAACAUGUUGAGGAAGUAGCACUACACGUUCCAUGGGACAUGGCGAUUUCUGAUGCUUUGCUGAUUGAGCAACAAGCCUACUUCUUGCCAGAUGCUUUCAUUGGCUUAAAUAGGGAGUAUGACCUCCGAUGAAGGCAACAUCAGAGCUAACAAUUAUUCUUGACUGGGAAGUGAGGAUGUAUGCAUCGCUGAUGGAGAACCCCUUGAUGAUAGGCAAUGGGAAGCCUCUUUUGAGAUAUGAAUUCACAUAGGGCACAAACAAUUUUUUCAACAAGAUCUGCAUCACACUCUGCCAAUACAAAAAUUAGAAUCAAUUAGACAUUCAGAAGUUAAGAAACAAAUGUUCACCAAUGAUAAUAAAAUACAUGUGCAGCUCCACAAUUAACAACUUCAUUCAGAAAUUAGGCCUUUCCGCUAUACUAGGUAAAAGAACUUUAUGAAGAAGGCAUUUUCAACCGAAAUUACUUUUUUCUUUCCAAUAGGAUAACGCAUGUCUUAGUUAGCCCCUCAGAGUCCCUCUUGGAAAUUAGGCAUAUCCAUAAAUAUAGGAUGGAGAUUCCCAAGCUCACCUCUUUUCUAUUACACCAUCAUAAAUUACAAACUGUGGAAUGUCAUUAAAUCGUAUAAUACAGGCCAAAAUACCUGAACUAUGAAGGUAUGAAGUUUGCCAACUUUGCUCCACUUCAAGGUGAAUGAGAAAUAAUCUAACUCGACUCUUCCAGCAAGAUUGUUCCCAGAAACCACUGCAGCUCCAGAGACAGUAACUGACUGUGGAAACAAUAUGCGACAACGGUAUCAAAGAGGUGGAAAUUGCACGUGUUUCCUCGUGUAGAAAUGUUUAUGUAUAAUGGAAGUCCAAUUGUAAAUCAACGGAUGAAACAAAAAAAGAAAACAUGAACACAACUCAAUGUGCCAUAGAUUUCAUUUCUAAAAUUCUCAGUGGGAGAAAAUAUGAAAUGCUGAAGGUCAAAGACAACACGGACAGUAUACAAGUGCUGCCAGAUGGUGCAAUACUGUUACAUUUCAAUAUGUUUACUUUCCAUAAGUCAAGCAACUAGCAAUGAAAUCAAAUGAAAUCAGGAAAGGAAAUUAUUAGAAAAAUCUCACCACUGAUAUGCACGCCACUGGAACUAUCUCAUCAAAAUCCAAAACAUUAACUGUGACAUCUAAGUCAACUGCGGCAUCAAUCCUACCCACAUUAAUCCUCACGGAAGGAGGUGAAGUAGCUGAAAUAUUCAGCAGCAUAUCAUCAUUGGGGUACUUCUGAUAUAACCUUGGAAUCAAAAACCUCCAACUAGCAGUAUUCAGGAAGAGCUGAUCAGGAAUUUUAUCCACCAUACGUUGUAGUGAACCAGCCUGAACAAUCCAAGUAUCAUAUCAAUUAGAAUAUAUAUUUUUACAGCUAUUAGCAUAUUUGUUACUCCCUCCGUCCCAAAAUAUAACAACUUUUAGCCCUCAAGAUUUGUCCUAAAAUAUAACAACUUCUCCACCAACAUUCUCUUCCCAACCAAUCACAACUCCCCACCAUUCAUUUUUCCCACCUACUACCACUACUUAACCAAUCACAACCCUCCACCCUCCACCAUUCACUUCUACCUACUUUCUUAGUAACCAUGUCCAACUCUAAAAAUGCUUAUAUUCUGGGACGGAGGGAAUAAUUGUUUCCAUUCAAACAUGAACACGUGUUCAAGUUAGCUACUCUAGACGGACACAAUCAACAAAAUAUAUAUCUUUCUUUUGUGUAAUAUAUAUAUAUAUAUAUAUAUAUAUAUAUCUUUUGACAAAAGCAAGUUCAGAUAAUCCUUCAACUUUACACAUCUGCAGUAAGGCUUUAAUCCUUUAACCAUGAUAACAACCACUUUCUUAUGAAUUCUGAUAUACCUUGAAAUAGAGAGCUGAAACAGAGUUGAAAACAUCUUCAUCCAAUGAAAUCCAUAGCAUUUUUGAAGAGCUACCAAGAGGUGGUACAUAUUUUACACCUCUAAAAUGCAUGUGUCUUGAAACUGCAGUUUUAUCAGAUGGAAUGAACAGUCCAUCGAUAUCAAACUCCACAGAGGAACUCUUGAAGAGUGGAUCACUAACAAAUGUCACAUUCAUAGCAGCGAUGCUAUCAACAUCGAUUUUCUUUGGAAGGCUUCCAAGGAAUGAGUCAAGCUUUGAUGCACCCUCCAUUAUUUUCUUCGUAAUUGCAUUUUCUACUGAUGAUCUGAUAUGAUUACUGAAACCAUCUACAAACCUAGAAAAGGUAAGAGGAAUAAUAUCAAUCCAUGUGGGGUCAGAUAAAUAUCAACAGCAUUCAGGAAUAUAUAGGGCAAUUAUUUUGACAAAAAAAAUUGCAUGAUAUUCUAACCACAGAUAUAAACCAUGUUUCCUAUAUAUAUUGCUGAUGUACAGAAAAAUAGAAUUAGAAUGGGCAUGGCUACCCACAUCGGGCAAUUAUAGGAGUCAUAUUUUGUUUUGUAUUGUGCCACCGAAUAAGAUAGCGAGAAAUCAGAUCAAGAAUGGAACCAUUGGAACCUCCGACAGUACAAGCCCUUGUUCGCUUGGUUCUGGACCAGCCUUUCUUCUCACUUGAUAACAGAUCAUCUAGCUCUCUUUUAUAGUAUAGUCAAAGUCUAUCUGGGCACGGAAGCUAAGCCGGCAAAGAAAAAGGCUUAAUAAGAUGAGUGGGGAAGAAAAAGUAUCCUCUUUCAGGAUAAGGGCUGGAGGAAGCAGGGACUGAACCAGGGCUUGUUGACAGAGCAGAUAUCAAAAGCCUAUGUUAUCUCAUUUUCAGGGACUGAGCAAGGGAUGAGCGCCCUCUGAUCUAACGACCAAACAAGCAAUUUACAGAGCAACCUCAGUUAAUUUGACAAGUUUUUGCAUAUGUAAAAUUGUGAAGCACGUACCCCUGAUAAAACCAAGAUGCUCCUCCGUUCAGUGAUAUGUCCAAGCUCUUCAUAUUACAGCCACAUUCUGUAACGAACAGCUUGAGAGACCCAUUUUGAUUCUUCAUCCCCAUGGAAAUCCCAACAUCCAUUCCAUCAACCUUAGCGAAAAGGAAUCAUGAAUACAUCUUGUACCUUCGUAUAUAUACAUGUCAAGGGUGUCUAGUACUCAAAUAAUACAGGUAAAUAAGGUGUAAGUGCCAUAGGUGACAUUGUUUCGGUGUAAACUUUCAAAAACACAACUGAGACGUUUUUACUUUUUAAAAAAGAAGCAGCUUAUAAUUCCAACAAAUUAACUGAGGAGCAUAUAGGAUAUCUAUGUUAUUGAAAUGUUGCUUGCCUGCUGCAAUGCUGCUAUUUAGGUGCUUAGAAUUGUAAACUCCAUUGAGCUAAAAUGAUCUAGAGAAAAAGUUAAGAUCAUCUUGAAGUAAAUCCUAAGCACAAAUGCCAGCUGCUCCUAAUAGGCAGCCCACAUGUCACCCCAAUAUGCACCGUGCAACAAGUAACCAGCUAUUGUGCCUAUCAAUGUAAAUUACUCAUGUACCAACUAAAGAACUAGAUUUGAAAGUGUCUUCAAAGCUACUCAAUUUCAUAACGUGCUGGAUUCUACUUUACAUACAUGUUUCAUUCCAUACAUGCCAAUAAGCGCAAAUUCAGACACUAAACCACUAAUUUUGAACAUUAACUUGUCAAUCAUGGAAGUCCCCCUCCAAUCUAGCAUCAUCUCUCGAACUGUGAAAAAAACAACAACAAUUGAACGCAUGAAUACCGCGACCCAUACCUGAAUCGAGGCAUUACCGCUGUCAGAGAUCGUGACGACCCAGGCGCUAUAGGAGUAGCUCCACCCCAUAGUAAGAUUAACGCUGGACAGCGACGCGGCCACCACGAUCCCGUCGUCCCCGACGGCGACGGUGGAGUCGUCGACCGCCACGCCGUGGAGGACGAUGCCGGAGGCGACCAUGUCCACGGUGCCGAUGACCGGGAUGCUCACGGACCUCUCGAUGUCGGGCACCUCCAGGGGCACGAUGGCCUCCGCGGCGCGGGACACGAGGAGGUCCUUGACGAAGUCGAGGCCCGACUGGGAGAUGACGGCGGAGAUGUGCGGCGACGCGGAGGCGGCGGAGAGGAAGGUGAGGAGGAGGAGGAGGAGGGGGAGGGUGGGGAGAGGGGCGGCGGCUGCCGCCAUGGCGACGCCGGCGCCGGCGAGGCGAGAGAGGCUAGGGAUUGGGGAGGAGGAGGUGGAGGCGGUGGCCGGAGUGGGAGUGGCGUGAGGGAGAAGGCGGCGGCAUGGGCGCCGCCGUCGGGUAGUCGCGGCGGGUUUGAACGGUCGUCUUCCCCGGGGAGUGGCCGUGGUGACGUGGCAGAGACGUGGCUAGGCGGGGAACAGCGGCGGUAAAUGCCUGUCCAUGGGCUCAUGCCGCGUAUAUCCUCUUGAAAAAUAGGAAUUCAAUAUUUCAUGAUUGAGGCUGUGUUUAGAUGCAGGGUGUAAAUUUUUAGUGUGUCAUAUUGGAUAUAUGAACACAUAUUUAAAGUACUAGCAAAAGUGUCCGUACGUUGCACCGGGUGAUUACGGAGUGUGUAUAUUAACCAAAAGUGUUGUUUGGUUUAGCAAAAGUGCCCGUGCGUUGCAACGGGAAGCGUACAUAUCAGAAAAAUAUGCAAUUAAUUAAAAUACAAAUUCGCUGAAAUAUUUGAUAUUUUUAAGUAGGUAUAUGUGUAUAAUUAAAUAAAUUUACAAGUAAAGUAAGUGUGAGAAAUAACUAUAAUUGUAAUGCUUCUGAAAAAAUGAGCACUAAACAUGAACUUAUUCUCUCUUUUUUUCGGCCCGAGGGACCUAAAAUAGACUUAUUUUCGGCCCUUACCGGUCGGCCCACGGCCUUUUGCGCACGCGUGGGCUCACUUCCCCUCCCCAAGCCGCAACCUGGGCUUGAGCCAGAAAAGUGGCCUCACUCUCGAUCCCUCUUGGGCCGAUUUCGGCCCGGAUGACACCGGCCGUCCGAUUUCUAGGGUUUUGAUCGGACGGCCGAGCGUCGAUAUCGGGGAAACAAAACCCCCUCCCUCUCAGCCGCCAAAACCCUAGCCCAUUUCCCUCCCCUCCCUCCCAUUUCACUUCGCCGCCCUCCCCUCCGUGCCCCCGAGCGGUGGCGGCACCCCUCCCCCCGUGAGCGGCGGCGGUCCGCGGCGGCGCCCUCCCUCCCGAGCAGAGGCGGCGCCCUCCCCCCGCGAGCGGCGAUGGCGUCUCCCCCACCACUGGCGGCGCGGCAACGUCCUCCCCCACCACCGGCAGCGCGGUGGCGUUCUCCCCACCACCGGCGGCUCCCGGGGAGGUGAUCCUCUCAGUCAAAGCCACGGCGGCGCCCCUCCUCCUCUCCCUCUCGGGUCGGCGGUGGCGGGUUGGUGGCGGCCGCGACAGAUCCGAGGGUGGGGGCGGCGGCUCCCUCCACCCCCUCUAGCCUCCCUCCCGCGGCAGAUCCGGUGGCGGCUGCGGCUCCCUUCUCCCCUCUCGCCUCCCUCCUGCCCCAGAUCCAGCGGCGAUGGCGGUGUCGAUGGCGUCGGCGGGUGAGUCCGUCGGCGGUGGCGGCGGCUCCCUCCUCCCCUCUCGCCUCCCUCCCGCCCUAGAUCCGGCAGCGAUGGAUCCGGCGGUAGUGGCGGCGUCAGCGGCGGCGCGCCCACCCCCCACAGCGGCGUCGGCGGCACCCUCCCCCACCACCGGCGGCGGAUCUAGCGGGAGGAGAGGUGCCCCGCGAGCGGCGGCGAUGGCGCCCCUUCUCCCGCGAGCAGCGGCGGCGGCGGAGUCCUCUCCCACCACCGACGACGGCGGCGGCCCUCUCCCCUACCACCGGAGAGCGCCCUCCGCCGCCACCGCCGGCGGAUCUAACGGGAGGGACCGGCGGUGGCGGCGCUCUCCCCUCCACCGGAUCUAGCAGGAGGGAAGCCGCCGGCGGCCAGCCGUCUCUGCGACGGCAAUGGCGACGGCGGUGGUGACCCCCUUGAUCUAAUUUUUGGUUUUGGUUUGGAUAUAUAUGUGUACAUGCAUCAUGAUUUGUGUGAUUGAACUCCGAUUGUGAUUGUUAUUUUUUUCCGGGGUUUGAUUGGAUUCGGAUUGGGAUUUUGGGGGAGGGGGGGCGACGAAGCGGGACGAAAAACCAGUGUGACGACCGGAAAAAUUCGAAUAUUUAUAUUAGUUAUAGAUUAAACAUAGACUAAUAAUAAAAUAAAUUACAGAUUUAGCCUGUAAACUGCAAGACAAAUUUAUUAAGCCUAAUUAAUCCGUCAUUAGCAAAUGUUUACUGUAGCACCACAUUGUCAGAUUAUGGAGCAAUUAGGCUUAAAAGAUUCGUCUCGCAAUUUUAUACGCAAUCUGUGUAAUUAGUUUUUUUCGUUUAUAUUUAAUACUCCGUGCAUGUGUUUAAAUAUUUGAUGUGACAUGGCGAAAAAUUUUGCUAGAGGAUCUAAACUUUUUCGUUUAUAUUUAAUACUCCGUGUAUGUGUUCAAACAUUUGAUUGCUAAGGUGAUUUUUGAAACUCAUACAGAUUAAGACGAAGCUUAAGUGUUUAUACAAAACGAGAUUGUAUUAACGUAUAAUUAAUUGAGUUUAAUUAAGUAUUACAAAUUUAAAAAAUAUAUUUAUCUGAUAUUUUAGAAUAACUUUCAUAUAAAAUUUUUUUUACACAAAACAUACCGUUUAGUAGUUUGAAAAGCAUGUCAUGAAUAUCCAAAUUUUCAUCCAACCAUUCCAAAGCUUACUUCAAAAUAUGGAUCUUUUGACCACGCCAUUCCAUCCAACGUGGCAAUAUAACAUCGACACGUCACCACAACGGGCGUGAUAGUUUUAUCUUAUCACGUUAGUCAGGGUGACGAGGCCAAAUAACAUUGUCACAUCCGUUAGGCCGGCGUGACCAAAUAACGAUGGAACAUUAGGCAGACCGGCAUGACAGUAUGCGUAGCUAAAAGAUUCAAAUUUUUAAAAUAAGUUUUUUCAAUUGUUUUUUUAAUUAAAAAUAAAAAGGUUCAAGACAUAACAAAAAAAUCCACGCUCAGGCCUCACGCAGUAAUGCCGUGGUACGUGCACUGACUUGGCAUUCUAGAGCACAGCGUGGCAUGCGCUAUCCCCGUUCAAAUACCCCAAUGGGUAAAUCCGGUCCGUCCACGUGUAAACCGGCUCGGGUCGGGCUCGCCAAACCAUCGACAGAAGCGAAGCCGGGUCCAACCCCACCACUCGCCCAGUUGUCCGCGCACCCCUCUGACGUGGUCACUGACAGGUGGGCCCGAGAGCGGUGGGGUCCACAUGUCAGUCACCACGUUCCUCCGCCUUCGCCGUCAGCUUUCCCCUUCCCGAAGCUUCGCCAAUCUCCCCUCCUCUCUCUCUCUCUCUCUCCUCCCCGCGGUCGCCGACGACCUCGCCACCGACCCCGCCGCCGGACGCGAGGAAGAGACGGGGGGAGCCCCGGAGGCAGGAGCGGCGGGAGGGGAUGGCGAUGCAGACGGGGUUCGCCACCUCCAAGGUCCUCAUCCUCGUCGGCGCAGGUCUCGUCACCGCAACCUCCCCCUCCUCCUCCUCCUCCUCCUCCUCCCGCUCUACUAUAUUUUCUAGCAUCGAUUCGAGAUGCGGAUCGCCCCGCUGUGUUCUGAUCCUGAUGCGGUGGUUUUUGGCCGGCGUCGAGCUGCAGGGUUGACGAGCUCGAUCGUGCUGCGGAAUGGCCGGCUAUCUGACGUGUUGGCGGAGCUUCAGGUCGGUGGAUUGCCUGAUGUUUCUUGAGUAGAGUAGUUGGAUUCUGGGCAUCUAAUUCUGUUGAUUGCUUCGCGUUAUCGAUCGUAAGUUGCCAAUACGCUAAUAUAGGCGCGUCAGUGUUGCCCGUGUGUGUUUCAAGCGAUGUUGUGAUUUAUAUAUCUGUUUGUGGGACUCCAAUUUAUCAAAUGCAUUACAGCUACAUUUCACCGAUCAAACGUUGGGCGUGCACAUGGGCAUAACUUUUUGUCGCUUAAUUUCAAUGUCGAAUCAUUUCGAUGCACCAAUUGGAAUGUCAUGCCUAAGUUAAUCACCCAAUGGCUAUGAUGAUGCGUUCUUCAUCUAUAAUUUGUAGUAACUCAUAAAAUCGCAGAUGUUUAUUGAAGUAGAUGGUUUUUUCCCUGUUUUUAGGAGCUUAUGAAAGGUGUAAACCAAGGAGAAGGUUCGAGUGCCUAUGACAUCGCCCUUCUUCAAUCUCAGGUAUGCAUCGUUUCAUAUUUUUCAUAGAAUCAACAGUUGAAUGGAAGUUACAAUGCAGACUUCAAUUUCAAUAAAGUUGCCAGUUUCAGUAAAAACCACUGCAGUUUGUUGUUUUUAUUAUUUGUGUGCUGGCGCUUGACUGCAGAUUCGAAAUUUAGCACAAGAAGUUAGAGAUUUGACUAUAUCAAGGCCUAUUACCAUAUUGAGUGGCAACUCCGACUCUGGAGGUUUGUUCUUGUUUGAUCCUCUCCUCGUUCUGUUUUCAGUUUCACUCUUCUAGCAGUCAUGCAAAGAGUCUAUCCAUAUAAAGCUUUUGUUACAUCUUUUUACUUAGAUUAUUUGUCAAUCUUAAGGUUUAGAUAGACAAUUAUUGGCUUGUAUCAGCUCCUCUACAAGGCUACCACCCCUUGGUGAAAAAGUGGUCAAUAGUCAUAUUUUUGCUAAAACUCGUUAAAGAGUGUCAAUCUCUAUUCUCUAAUUCAAUAUUGAGUAAUUCAUGAAGCUGAAAUGCUUCAGCGAUUACAGUAUGAAUCAUGUUGAUUGGUCAAUAAUAGCAAUGUAAUGACAAAUGGGAUAGGAAUGCUGGUACAUUCAGCUGUUUCUCACAACAUUCAUGAACAUAUCUCACUAGCUACUUGUCCCCAUGUGACAUGUAUCUUUUUCUUAUCCGUGUUGUUUAUUCACUAGCAUUUGCAUCCCUUUUGCAGGCAGUUUAUCCUCCUACAUACUGCCUGCAGCUGCAGUUGGAGCAAUGGGUUACUGCUAUAUGUGGUGGAAGGUAAAAUCAGGAAUAUACAAUGCCACUUUGAUCUAUCAGCUUUUAUAUUCUGAUUUUUCUUCCUUGCUUUCUUUCUCCACAAACACUCCUUACUAUCCUUUUCCUUUUAUUAUACUUACAGCCUUCAAUAAAUUAGUAACUGAAUGAAGAGAGUAAUAUGAUGUUCCCCAUUUGCUUGUUUACCUUGUUUCUUGUAGUUAUAUGUCUUAAGAACUAUGCUACCUAAGUCUCCCUGUAAAGUAUUUCCAUGCAGUCCCAGUGGUUCUAUGUGGAUCCAAGUAUCCAACUUUGAUAUAUAAUUGGCAUUUGGCACCCUUGUAUGUAUUUUGAGACAUCAUGAAUAAACCACAUUCUUUUUUUUUUGGGCGGGGGAUUAAAUUGCUUUCUUAGUCAUGUAAUAACACCUCUCUGAUUCUGUGACCAAAUAUUCUAUCAAGAAUCACAGUUUCGGGUUGAGAGACUCUUUUCAUGAUCCCUAGGCCCUAGUAUUUAAGUAAAACCAUCAAAUCUGUCUUGUCCUAAUGGUGUUUGUAGACUAAAUUACUAGUACAAUGAUGAACUGUAUGUGUUAAACUUUUCUUACAUUAUAGUAUCUUCCUGCAGGGAUUGUCCUUAUCGGAUGUCAUGUUUGUUACCAAACGCAACAUGACCAAAGCUGUUGAGAGUAUGUCGAAGCAAUUGGAUCAAGUGUCUUCAGCUUUAGCUGUAUGCUUUACAUGCUGAAUCGUUACAUAUUUGAAGUAGUUUUCCUUCGCAUAUGCUGACUAGUGUUUUCUAAAUUCAAUUAAUUUCAGGCAACAAAAAGGCAUCUAAGUCAGCGCCUGGAAAAUUUAGAUGGGAAAAUGGAUGAGCAAGUGGAGGUCUCCAAAAUUAUUAGAAACGAGGUUUGUUGAUUUGUGAUGCUGCUAGCCCUUCAACUUUUUACACAUGGAAAUUUUUGAAGUUCCUUUUUUUUUUUCUCUGGAGCAAUAAUUAUUGUUUCAUUUUUUUCAUUACAUCAAGUCUAAUUAGCAUCUGAUAACUUUAUUAUUAAAUUGUGUUUCUACCUGAGGUGCAUAACUCUUAUUAGUUUGAUUUGUGUAGUCGCAUCUGAAAAGGUGGAUCAGGAUUUUCUUUGUCAUGCCAAUAUUGUUUCAAGCUAAAAACUGUGCCCUCGAUAAAGCCAGGAAGCACUUGACAUGGCUAUUAUAGGAUAUGCAUUGAAAUAUGGUGGAAUUGUUGGCUUUUACUAUAAUCAUUGACAGCAUAUUCCAAGUGAUCGAUCUUGCCCAUAAACCAUAAAACAACAUCAUGAAGCCAAGAAUAUAUACAAGCGCAAGCAUAAGCAUAAUGAUAUUUGUCAUCAAUGAAUGGUCUUUAGUUGCAUUAAAAUAUACCUUCUUAAAAAUAGCUACUGUAAAUCUGCAAGUACUCAUCUAUGGAAAGAUAAAUUUUACAGCAUUUUUCAUUUUCUUCUCGAAAGCAGAAAAGUUUUGUUCUUCCCAAUGUUAUGCAAAAGACAUGAUUCUGUUCUCUAUGCACAGGUGAAUGAUGUCAAAGAUGAUCUGUCUCAAAUUGGAUUUGAUAUUGCAGCAAUCCAACAGAUGGUUGCUGGAUUGGUGAGUUUUAUUAGUUUAUAACCCUUGAGCAUGAACCUGUGUCAGAACACUUCUUUGGUUAUCCUGACCUUUAUGUUCUCCUUUGACAUUAUCAGGAAGGGAAGAUCGAGUUGCUUGAUAAUAAACAGGUGGCUAAACAUACCCAUCAAUAUUUAACGUGCUGAUUUUUUCCUUUUGCCUAACCUCUUGUGUUUACCGACAGGAUGCAACUAAUGCUGGUGUAUGGUACCUCUGCCAAAUAGCUGGAGGUCUAAAAGAUGGAAUAAAUGCCAAGUUUUUUCAGGUGAGUAGAUAUCAUUUAUAAAGGUUCAGGAUUGCAUGCAAGGUCUAAGGAUGCCUUAUCUUGGAUAGUUCGCUUUUCUUUUGGCUCAUACUGCUCAUUGUGCUGUAAUGAUCCUUCUAUGCUCUCCAUUCCACAGGAAGCUAAUGAAAAACUCAAGCUCACAGAGUUGGCUCAGUCUGAAAGAAAGGCAGUGAAGGUAAUACACAAUUAAUAUGCAGAUGUUUGUCCUCCAUUCAGGUAAUUUCGGUUUCUUUAUGCCAAUCCAUAUCUGUGUUGUGCACAUUUUAGGGGCUUGAAUCUGUUCUGGAGAGCAGAAAGGAACAAAAGGCAAUCGACUCCAAACAAAAUACCACCGCGAUAAUUGACGCCGAAAAGCCCGUGAAAACGGUCGAUGGGCCUGUGAAAAGCGGCGCGGUGCACAGGUGUAGCAGAAUCUCAUUUCGGAAGGAAGGCCUCGCUUUGUGAUCAAAGCAAAGCGAUCGUAACCAGCCCGCUCUCGCGAUGUACAUUGUCUGCCUGAUUGUUUUGUUCGAUUAAAAAAAAUAUAAAAUAAAACCUGUACCUGGAGUUAUUUUGAGUAGGCAGGUUGAUGCACUAUUCUGAUUCAAAAGUGUAUGUGGUUCAAUCCACGUACGCUCUUUUUCUUGGAUUUUGAUUCAUGUGAUCUCAUUUAUUUUUAUUUGGUGUGAAUGUUUGUACACAGUUGGUUCGAAACAUUCCUUGUGCCAUUGUGAGAGUUCCCUUCGGCCUGCAUGCCCUUGUCCCAUAUGUCCAUAUCACCCUGUGAAUGAUGCCCUCUCCUUCUAGUCCAGAUUUGCAAGCAGUCUGGAACUCUGGAUGAUCGGAUUUUACUUGCAGACAGGCACAGGGCCACGGUAGUCCCUGUCCUGGAUAAAUUCUGCUCUGUUCGUGUACAACAUUUUCUUGUUUGCUGCACAAAGUGUAAGCCGUGAAGCAUAAACAGGAUUACAUGCACUAGUUACGUACACGGUGAAAAACAUGGUCCUCACUCCUCAAUGCCGUAUGCCGUAUGCCCGUAUACACCAAUUACUACACAUGUACAGCAAAUCAUAGGUACUCACGAAUCACAAGCUGGUGACAAUCAGCACGGAAGAAGAGGAUCUUCUCGCCUCCCUGGAAUGAGAUCCGUACCCCUUUACUAGCCAGGACGCGAUAAGAUGGGAGUAUAUAUGUUCCUUUGGAUGUCAGAUUUGUCGGUUCCGUUUGCCUGUCGAUCGUACGUACGACAGGUGAAAAAAAGAAUCAGAUCUUCCGUUUUUUUACAGUCGUCAAGCAGCUGCUUCUUGGGUUGCAUUCUGUCACGGUGUCACCGUUGUGCCGAUUCGAGUAAAAACCCUGUGUCCUUUGAUAUGGAAAGCCAAGGCGAUCUAGCAUGGGCCAUGCCCUCAUCAAACCGGAUACGUAUACGCCUCCAGAGACGCACACUGUACGUUGCUGUACUAACUGUACUGGUGUACGUGUACCUAGCGCAUUACUCACACUAUCCAAAAAAAAAAAUCAAUGUUAAAGAGGCGUGACUCCUCUACCAUAAAUUUAAAUAGAUGAAGAGAUUUGUUGUAUUAGAAGGGAUCACAUUUCUCUUCUAAGUUUAGUUUUUUUUAAUAAAGUAAGCCAUAGCCAACGUUUAAAUUUAAAUUAUUCUAUGUGUUUUUUAUUGUCUUCUUUAGUCUUUGCCUUUAAAUCCUCAACAGCAUGUACAAGUCUAAAAAUAAAACCUAACUUUUAUUCCAUUGUCACGCUUUUUUACGGGUUAUUGACCGGAGCGAAAUAAUGGCGUACAUCUUCUUCUCUUUCUUCUUUUUUCUUUGUUUUUUUUUUCAAAAAAUGGUGAGUAGCUAGCUAGUUGUUAGGGUGAUCACCUUUCUUCUUCGCCGUCGGUCGCUAAUAUAAAAGGUGGUUGGCUGAUUAUGAGACAGUCAAGAUUAACAAGGCAUGAUAAGAUACAGACUCUUAAUAGAGGUAUGGCCAUUUCAGUUUAUUCUUAAUUGAUGUUUGAGAUAUCGAUGAAGAUGAACAUAUUAGGUGUACUAACUCAUGAUCAACGCUGCACACUGACAGUCUGACAAAAGCACGGAUCCCUAUCAGUCCCAAAUUAACAUGGCCACGCAUGGAUCAUCAAACCAAGGAGAUCUUACGCCUACAGAUGCAGGCAGAAAGUCAAUGUGUUGCGCGAAGCAAGCCGCAGAUUUUUGAAACAACAGUGCUAAGCUAUAAUUAACGAGGCCCAUCUGACACAGAACACCACGAGAUACUAGAAUAAUACAUGAUGGAUUAAGAAAUAAUGAAGCAGCUGAGAUGCAUACAACCGAAGUAUUCAAGGGCUAGCUAGCUAUCUGAACGAUCCAAACACUGUUAAUAUUUCAUUUUGUGUAUGUGUUUUUUUUACUGAUAUCAUAGGAGUAUCUAUCCUAAAAGCUAGCGUCAAAGCUACCAACCAUUCAAGUCUCGGACACCAAUUCUCAUGACAUAUAUCUCGGUGCCAACAAAGUCAAAACCAGCAGCUCAACAACACAGGGGGCACAUAGGAUUAGAUAGCUUGAUUAAAGAAAUCAAUGGUGACGAUUAUAGUAGUAAUAGUAUAGUAUGAUAGUAUGAUGCUGUGUAAAGCUAGCUAAUUAGCUAAACCAUAUCAAGUUGGAGUAACGAUCCAUCUUUGUUGCUGGGAGUAGCUAAUUUCGCUGUGCCGCACGCAUGCUCGGGAAAAAGAACGGAUCCCGAGGCCACUGAAUUCCGGACGGUUUGGUCAAAUGCCUCUUUGGUUGGGCCUGAAGGUUUCCUACCAAUGCCAAAGCGUGCAGCCAUUGGCCAUGGGAGUAUUGGAUUAUGGCCGUGUUUAGAUUUCAAUUUUUUUCUUUAAACUUUUAACAUUUUUGUCAUUAGACACAUGCAUGGAGCAUUAAAUGUAGAUAAAAAACAAUUGUAUAGUUUGCAUAUAAAUCGUGUUAUAAAUCUUUUAAGCCUAAUUACGUCAUGAUUUGAUAAUGUGAUGCACAGUAAAUAUUUACUAAUGACGGAUUAAUUAGGCUUAAUAAAUUCGUCUCGCAGUUGACAGACGGAAUCUGUAAUUUGUUUUGUUAUUAGUAUACGUUUAAUACUUCAUGUGUGUAUCUGUAUACUUAAAAAAAUUUUGACACACGAACUAAACACAGCCUAUAUUGCUUCAUAAUGACACCAUCAUUAUAUAUACUGAUAUGUGUGAUAAUAGGAGGUAGUGACCCACAUACCAAUGACUGUAAUGAUGCUGAUGUUAUGAUAGAUGAUCCUCACCCGUAUUGGACAUAAGAGCAAGUUUAAUAGUAUAGUUAACUACUAGCUCCAAUUCAUCUAUAGCCAAUCUAAUAGCUCAUUCACACAAUAGUUACAUACUACACUAUUAAUACCUGGUCCCAUCUGUCAUACACACUGCGUCUUGGAGUCCGUGCUACAACUAGCUACAAAUCUGUAGCCCGCUUCUCUUCUCUCAUCUCAUUUAUCUUCUUAAAAUAUAUUUGCAGCUGGUUUAUAGUCUGCUAUUAUACCUGCUCUAAGCUUCACGGUCACAGUAAAAAAGAAGUUUCUUAUUGGUCUAUAGAGGCUCUUUGAAACAAACACAAGUAUGUUAAAAACGCAUAAGAAAGGGAUAAAUGUACGAGUAGAACGCCAUUUCCAACUUGAUCUAUAGGACUCCAACACGCAUAAAUAAUAUUUGGAGCUAUAUAUAUGGAGCACAUGAUUUUCUUUAGAAUUAGUUUAUUUUCAAUAGUAAGGAAAAAUUCGUAAGAGCAGAGAGAGUGAGAGAGUGCAUUGGGGUUAUGAUAUGAAAAAUUCCGUACGGAAUGGAGGUAUAUAAAAUAAACUUUUAGGAUUUUGUCAAUCAUAUUCUCUCGUGCAAAAGGACGAUCUGAAAAUUGAAAAAAAAAGAAUGACCUUAUAGAAAAAAAUCCCAAGGAUUGAAAUCGUCCAAAUUAAAUUUCUGAAAUUCAAAGGAGACCUAAAAUUGUAUACAUGGCUCUAAAAGCAUGUCCUAAAUAUAAAAUUUGGUAGUACUAUUUAAGAAUUUGCAUGCUUCAUUUGGAAGGAAAUUAGGUUUUCUUUAGGGUUCCUUUGGAGCGUAUGAAUUCAAAAAUACAGAAACAGGAAAAAUGUAGGAAGACGUGGCAUACUAGCUAGUUGAUCCAUAGGAGUUUUAGAAUGCAGAAAUUGUGUGUAACUUGUUGUUGGAUGCUCCAUAGAAAAAGUAUAGGAUUUUGGGAGAGAGAUAGACCUGAGAAAAGUUCUCAUGAGAUCCAACCCUCAUGUUAAGGGCCACAUUGAGGGCUCCUUCGGAUUGUAGGAAUUUUGUAGGAAAUAUGGAUGAUUUCAAUUUGUAUUGUAUUUGGCACUAUUCGCUUGUUUGGAAUGAAGGAUUUGGGCAUAGGAAAGGUAGAGGGAAAUUUUCCUUUGCUAGAGAUUCCAUAUGAAUUCGAACAUCUACCAAGCCCUAUUUUUUUGUUUUCAUUUAUUAGCUAAGUCCAAGCUAAAUAAAAUAAUGAAAGCUCUAAAGAACCAUAAUUUGAGGAUAAAUUGACCAACGACAUUAUGAUUCUUGUGUUUUACUAAGUUCAUAUUUGUUCUAAACAAUCUAUCUUACUCCCUCCGUACUCGUAAAGGAAGUCAUUUAGGACAAUGUUUAAAUCAAACCAUAGGAAUAUAAAUCAUGAAUAACUCUCAAGUUGUUGAGUUUGAAAAUAUAAAAAUUAUAUGAAUAGAUUUGUCUUGAAAAAUACUUUCAUAAAAGUAUACAUAUAUCACUUUUCAAUAAAUAUUUUUAUAGAAACAAGAAGUUAAAGUUGUAUUUUGGAGACCGUGUCGCUGUCCAAAACAACUUCUUUUACGAGUACGGAGGGAGUAUAUUUUUCCUACAUUUUUCAUCUAUGUUUUAUAUUUAUACAUGCAAUCCUAUACUCCCUCCGUCCUAAAAAGAGGGGUUUAUAGGUUUUAGAUUUGUCCCAAAGAGUGUCUUUUUAGUUGUGGGUCCACUAGACCUCUUAAUACCAUUUCAUCCUUUUUAUUUAUAUUCUGACUUUCUAUAACAACAGUCUUAUUGGAUGAAGUUUUUUUUCUUAUUUCUGUGUUUUAAAGGAGCCAUAAAUAUAUGAUUUAUGAAGGAUGGCAAUGACCCCUGCAUGUACAAAGCACCGUACCGACACUAGAGCUAGGGCAUCCCUUUCAAAUUUCAAUUCGGAGCUUUUUCUCUCAUGUCAUUAUCAUGAAUUCGUUGAUUGCCAAAGAGUUAGAUUCUGUUCACGGUACAAUAUACCACGUGGGAUAAGGCUCCAAAUGCUCACAGGCUCACAGCAAGAUAUAUGGUUUUUACCCCCUAACUAUGAUUAGAUCAAGUGAUGCUAUUUUGGUGUAGCCUUGAGAUUAAAUUGUAAUCCUGGUGUAGAGACCAAAAGUAGUUAUAUACCUUCAAUCCUUCAUUAUUAGAAAAAAAAUGCAACUAAAUUGAAUAUAUACGCGUAUUCGUACAAUGUAUUACUCGAGUAUGCAGUUAAAGAAACCACUCUAAUGGAAAGGAUUCAGAAAAUUUUGGAGAGCAGGCAACAUUCAGCAAGCAGUACAGAAGAACACAGCAGAAUUGUGUCCAGGCCUAGGCGCCUAGAUACUCAUGCACUAGAAUGAAUAUAUAAUCAAAAUCAACAAGUACCAUUAGGUUGGAACUUGGAAAGAAAAAGAAUUGCAUCAAAAGGGUGCAAUAAUAGAAAGUACGAUACAAAUAUAUAAUUACACUCGAGAAUUGUAGUAGCAUUCGUCAACUACCACCAAAUCAUGAACUUCUCCCAACUGAACAUCAAUGGUACGUGGUACCGGGGUGCAAUAGUCAAGAGCGAAGGCUGCACGCUAAAGGCACCUCAAAAAUCCAAUGACAAAAAAGAAAGCAAAGACAGAUUGGAACACAAGUACCAGAAUAUAUGGCAGUACUACCACAUAUUUUUGCUACAUUAAUGGUUCUUUCAAGGACAAUUGAUCCAUGAACCAUGAUGAAUCUAAAUGCAGCACCGCAAAAUCUGACCGGAACUGUCCAUGAUCUCUGUAAAUUAUCUCCUUCUCUGUGCGUUAAUUAAUUAACUUUCUGUCAGACGAACAUACUAGCACUCUGAGUGCUUACCGACACCGAAAAGAAACAGUAGUAGUGACUGUGCAAAAGCAGGGAUUCGAACAACAACAACAACAACAACAAACACAGAUGAUGAGAUGAAUUGGACAUACAUUAAUUCUUCCAAUAGCUACGUAUUGGUUAGAGAGAGAGAGAGAGAUCUGAAAAUGCAUAACAAUCUAGAAGGAAGGAAUCAAUGCAGAUAUACAGUGUGACUGUCGUCUUAGCAUGAUCUUCAUUGACCAUCUGUAGCAGAAACUACUACUAGUUAACUUGCCUAGCUAAAAAAACCGAAGUAAUUAAUCAACCUCAAGAGUUAAUUAACAACAGAGAAAACACAUGAAUAAUGCAACCGUUUCUUUUUUCUUCCAUGGAGAGGAAAGCUAAAGGAAAGGUAGUACUUGGAACAGCAGAGAAAAUGCCUGGCUUUCCCUUGUAUGCCGCAUUGCAGCGCCGGCCGUCGACCGAAAACCCACCACCACCAUCACCAUCACCAAAACUCCCCUCCAUAUUUCUUCGCCUAUAUAUCGAUCCUCCCUAUAUCCUAUCUUGGAUUCAGCUCACCGGCCGGCCAUCCCAGUGUCGCCGGCGACUCCUGCGAUCCCAACGAUGGCAUUGGGCCGUUGCUGCUGCUGCUGCUGCUCCUCCUCCACACCCUCCUCAUCCUUGCUCAUGAGAGUAGCGAGGCCGUGGAAGAAGAAGAAUGGUCUCUCUCUCUCUCUCUCUCGUUUUCUCUGCGAUUUUAUGAUUGCUGCUGCUGCUGCAUUGGAAUAAUACUCGGCUUUCAGUGGGUUAUAAAGAGGGGGGAGAAAAAACCGGGCGCGAGCGAUCGAGGUCAGCAGCAGCUGCACGGGGGCAUGUCCUCGCGCGUGCCAGCGGCGUCGGGAUCCGGACCGCGCAUCAAUGCGUGCGAACGAACGAACGAACGCACGAACGAAUGCGUGCGCAGCGUGCGUGGUUGUCAAACGGAGGCCAACAGCCACGUUAAAUAUCGUAGCGUGACAGGCAGGGGCAGGGCAGGGGCAGGGGCAGGGGUGGAUUAUUCGCGGAAUGCGCGUACGUCGUACACCGAUCGAUAGGUUCGUACGCGCGGGGCGCAUUUGGUAGAGAUGGAUCGAUCGAUCCGUCGGUGGGAUGAGAAGAUUACGUUUGUUUGCCACAUGAGUUGGGGAGUACGAGUACGAGUACCGUGGAGGUAUUAUGUACUGGGUACCGACGCUUUGAUUUCGCUGCGGGGGGAUUAAAGAGCCGGGUUUACAUGGGGCCACGUUAAUAAAGAGAGAGGGCGAGGAGGAGGGGAAAAAAAAACGCCUUGUCAGAGAAUGAACUCCUCCACCAGUGAACCGUGAGGUCCCCUUUGUGAGUUCGGCUGGAGGCAGCGGGUGAGAUUUGAGGGCUUGGUGAGCGGAGCUGUGUGAUCUUGAUGGGGUUAGGCCCCUCCAAGACGAUGAGACAAAAAAUAUUUAUACAGGUUCGGGCCGCUAUGAAGCGUAAUACCCUACUCCUGUGCAUGAUUGAUUGAAUGUAGAACACCAGUGCUUGGGGUUGCGAGACCCAAGCGCCAGUUCGCUCGGAAGUCCCCCCCUCCACCACUAGGCCUGGACCUCCUUUUAUACAUCAAGGGGUUACCACAUGGGUCUAACAACCUAACCUAGCUCCGGUGGAGAAGUAUUAUAAUAUUUGCAUUAAAUGCAUGUCUUGUCUCUUGACUUGGGAAGCUAAGCACACGUCAUCUUGAUGAUGGAGCCUGUUAAAUCUUGCCGCCUGACACGGGGGUGCCCCUGUCAGUCACCAUUUAAUGGGUGAAGACUUCUGAGCUCCUAUUACACCGGGAAACGGGAGCCUUGCAUUGACCAGAGCGGGAGGACCGACUCCGGCUGGGAUAAGAGGAUGAGAACCUCUCACCAUCAUUAUUUGAUGGGAUAUGUCGGGCUGCACGUCGCCUGACACACGCGAUGGUGCGCCUGACAUCUUGGGUCCCAUCAUUCAUUCGAUCGGUCACAGACCGGUUGAGUGCACUGCAUACCGCAUUAAAUGCGGCGUGGCGCGACCGCUUGGGAUGCCAUAAAUGCGGGUAGGUGGGCACCUGGAGGCAGACACCUAACCCACCGUACGUGGUGACCUAGAGAGGGGGUCGGGGGAGCCCGACCCUGUUAACAGUGAAAUUUGGUAAGCCCGGAGUAGUCAUCGGCUUAGAGUCAGCAUCGGCUUCGAAGUCCUGAGAUUAGCCGAUGAGAGUUGUCAAGUCGUCAGUUGUCGGAUUCUUGCUAUAUUCGGUUAAGGAAAUUGAUCUACUAAAGGAAGCUUAUCCAUAAGAAACCGAGUUCAAAGAGAAUGCGGCAUGGCAAGUUAUCUAUUAAUUAGGAAUAGUUUGUUAGUUUCCUUUUAUCUUUAGGAAAGUGUGUUUAGUGUCCUAUAAGGAUUUUAUCUUUUCCUUUUAUCUUUAGGAAAGUUUCUUUCUUGUCCGACAAGGACUUGUAUCAACCCAUGGGUAUAAAUAUGUAUACUCGGGGUCUAUGUACUUUCUUAUCCGACAAGGACUUGUAUCAACCCAUGGGUAUAAAUAUGUACACCCGGGGUCUAUGUAGUUUAUCGCUACGAUCAAUAUAAUUCGGCGCAUCGCCACCCUUUUUACUUCUACUUUUGUUUUUUACGUUCCGGCAGAACUUGGCACCCAACGCAGGGCUGCAUCGUCUUCGAUCUCCGGCGAAGGGAUAAGUCCAAUGUUCCGUCGGUCCAGGCAAUUGUCUCAUCUACAUCGGCGUCGUUCAAGGCUGCAUCAGUAUAUUCGACCUCUUGGAUUGCUCUGGUUUGGAUGAUAUAUUUGCCUACCUAUUUAUCAUGUCUCUGUUAAUCUAGUCUUAGCAUAUCAAUUUAGCUCUAUCGGCUGUCUCUCGCUUUAGGGUUUCUGCCGGUAUCGGCUAAAUCGCGUUGCUAUAUUAGAUUAGCCUAGGCAUUUACCACCCUGAAAAUCAGUCAACGACUUGAUUGUCUAGAUAUUGUGUUUCUUUUCAUACUUAGUGUUGCAUUAGUUAAGUUUGAUCUACUAAGUCGUGCUUAGAACCAUAAUCUCUAGCAUGCUUAUUGAUUGCCAAUAAGGGAUUCAUCGGGGUUUCAGCCGGUGAGUUAUCUGGACGUUGCAUCGGCUCAUAAGGAUUGCAUAUACAUAUAAGUUGGAUUUAGCCGAUGGCAACAAAGGUUUCAUUGUUUAAUCUAAUCUUGUGGAUUUCAUGACAUCGGACCUCUAGCCGAUGGGUGCUUUAACCUUCGGAUCAAUACUUGUUCUACUAUAUCAUAUUGUUAGCCGAUUGGUUUAUACAGGAUUAUAUUGCUAUAUUACAUCAUCAUUAGCCGAUUGCCUUUAUAUCAGUAUCUACAUUUGACAUAUAGCCGAUUGCUUAAACCCUAUCGCUAUCGGCUGGUAUCGGCAUCGGCUAUUAUCGGCUAUCGGCUGGAACUACUCCAUCGGCUUGUCAGCCGAUCGGCUGUUUGAUCUAUUAUUUGCAAAUCUUGUCAGUUGCAGGAUUAAACUGACUGGCACGCCCGCAUCUCAUUAAUCUUUGGACCUGCACAGGAGCUAAGCAGAUCUCCCAGGCCGGUGUGUUCGAUUUUUUCUUCAACAGACCCCUAGUCAUGGGAGGGGGCGGCCGACGCCCGACCUCGGGCCUGAUCCCCCCUCGGGGGGGGGGGGAGCCACGUGGCGCCUGGGGCGGCCUUCUCCCUCUAGUCUCGGCCAGGGAGUGGCCGCCGCCCUACCUCGGGCCCGACCCCCCUCGGGGGAGUACCACGUGGCAUUGGAGGGCAGCCUCCUCCAUCCAGUCUCUGGGAAGGAGUGGUCGCCGCCCUACCUCGGGCCUGACUCCCCUCGGGGGAGGGCCACGUGGCAUCGGAGGGCAGCCUCCUCCAACUAGUCUUUGGGGAAGGAGUGGCCGCCACCCCACCUCGGGCCUGACUCCCCUCGGGGGAGGGCUACGUGGCAUCGGGGGGCAGCCUCCUCCCUCUAAACCUGAUACCCCGGGCCCAUAUCACCGACAGUAGCCCCCGGCGUUAGCCCUGACCAAAACUUUUCCUAGGUGGUCAGGGUUGACGCCACUCUGUUAGUCAAAUGACAUGUGGGCCCGAUCUCUUAUUCUUUCUUUGCUGGCACUAGGACCCAUGCGCCUUUUUCGCCCUAGCCUGAGGGCGAUUCGCUAGCCCGUACCUUAGGCUGUGAACUUAUUUUCUGUAUAUAUUCAGCAAACGUUGUUAGAUUCUCUUGGGCCCGUGUCUUUACGCCGCGUACCUCGCUUGCUCCUGCCAUUUGUUAAUCUCUGUUCAUGUUCUACUUCAUCUAUUCAAACGAUUAUUUUCGCGAGUGUGAGGACUGAACUUUCCCUAACCAGCAAUCUUCACUCGCGAUCAAGCUAAGCUGGGCGCCGUAGCCAGCCGGCAGGGCCAAAGCCAGCUGCUACGGAAGAGCUAGCAUAGGGGGCCCCAGGCGUCGACGGUACCCAGAGCUCGACACAGGGCUAGGAUAGAGCUAGGAAUCGUAGCCCCCGCACUUUAAGCAAAGAAUCGUUUGAAUGGAUGAAGCGAAUACAAACUUUUUGUUACCAAGGGAGGCAAGCCGGCGCGCGACACAUAGGUACCGCGGGACCGUGAGGAAGAGAUAGGCGAGAGAUAAAUAUAAGCAAUAAUAAUUCUAUGCAAACGAUUAUCUUCGUGCGAGUGUGAGGACUGAACUUUCUAUAGCCAACAAUCUUCGCCUGCGAUCAAGUGAAGCUGAGCGUCGUAACCAGCCGACGGGGCCAAAGCCAGCCGCUACGGAAGAGCUAGCACAGGGGGCCCCGUGCGUCGACGGUACCCAGAGCUCGACGCAGGGCUAGGAUAGAGCUAGAAAUCGUAGCCCCCGCACUUUAAGCAAAGAAUCGUUUGAAUGGAUGAAGCGAAUACAAACUUUUUGUUACCAAGGGAGGCAAGCCGGCGCGUGACACAUAGGUACCGUGGGACCGUGAGGAAGAGAUAGGCGAGAGAUAAAUAUAAGCAAUAAUAAUUCUAUGCAAACGAUUAUCUUCGCGCGAGUGUGAGGACUGAACUUUCUAUAGCCAACAAUCUUCGCCUGUGAUCAAGUGAAGCUGAGCGUCGUAACCAGCUGACGGGGCCAAAGCCAGCCGCUACGGAAGAGCUAGCACAGGGGGCCCCGGGCAUCGACGGUACCCAGAGCUCGACGCAGGGCUAGGAUAGAGCUAGGAAUCGUAGCCCCCACACUUAUAGCAAAGAAUUGCUUGUAUGAAUGAAGCAAACACAAACCUUUAGCUCGAAGAGGACCCCCCACCAUGGGUUCCGAACCAUCUUGGGAAGCCUGUGACCACUUAGCAAACGAGGUCAGGUUCCCACGAGCCUGUGUCCCCACGCUACACAUUCUGUUUGCUCUUUCCUUUCGGUGGCCUGCUUCCAAUCUCUUUUCCUUCUACAUGGACGAUUACUUUCGCAUGAGUGUGAGAGCCGAAAACUCUAGAGCCAGCAAUCCCCAUCCACAGUUGAGCCAGGCCGGGUACUGUAGCUAGCCGGCGGGACCAAAGCCAGCCGCUACGGAAGAGCCAGCACAAGGGGUCUCGGGCAUCGACGGCACUCGGGGCUCAACUGAAGGCUAGAAAACUUAGCCCCCACACUUAGCGAAGAAUCGUUCAUGUAGAUGGGAGAGAGGUUGGGCUCUUACCACCGAGGGAGCAAACAAAUGCGCAACACGCGGGCGUCGCAGGGCCAUGAGAAUAGAAUGGGGGGAAACAAAUAUAAGAUUUCAAGCUAAUGAAUUGAAAAAUUGAAAAUACUUGAAGCUUGAAAGGACGAUCAGUUGAGCCAGGCCGGACACCGUAGCCAGCCGGCAGGACCAAAGCCAGUCGCUAAAGAAGAGCCAGCACAGGGGGUCCCGGGCUUCGACGGCACCCGGAGCUCAAAACUGCAAGAGUCCUCCUAGGAGUGAACCGAGGCGGCAGCAGGUUCAUGGGCCAACCCCGCACUUGGCCCCUGAGGGCCAUGGGGAAGACGUUCGCCAUGACCCGGUCGCCACCCCUCGCCGCCUCUAUGAUCGCCAUGCAGAUCUGGAGGGACUUGGAGGGGUCGGCGCCAUCAUCGUACUUCUCGGUGAGGUAGGGCUGGAGCUUUGGGGGCCCUCGGACAUUCCGAAGACUCGCCACAAAGACCUGGUAGCCAAGCUUACCCGGUGGGGAUGUGGGGGGCCUUGCCCCCUGCCUGGGGUGGCGCGACACUCCAGAGGAUGCUGCGCCUUCCCCCGUAGCGGCGGUGUGACACUCACCACGCCGGCGCUCGAAAAAACCUCAAAAAUCACGAACGCGCCCCCUACCUGGCGCGCCAGAUGUCGGAGAAUGAACUCCUCCACCAGGGAACCGUGAGGCCCCCCUUUGUGAGUUCGGCCGGGGGCAGCGGGUGAGAUUCGAGGGCUUGGUGAGCGGAGCUGUGUGAUCUUGAGGGGGUUAGGCCCCUCCAAGACGAUGAGAUAAAAGAGGUUUAUACAGGUUCGGGCCGCUAUGAGGCGUAAUACCCUACUCCUGUGCAUGAUUGAUUGAAUGUAGAACACCAGUGCUUGGGGUUAUGAGACCCAAACGCCAGUUCGCUCGGAAGUCCCCCCUCCACCACUAGGCCUGGACCUCCUUUUAUACCUCAAGGGGUUACCAUAUGGGCCCAACAACCUAACCUAGCUCCGGUGGAUAAGUAUUAUAAUCUUUGCAUUAAAUGCAUGUCUUGUCUCUUGACUUGGGAAGCCAAGCACACGUCGUCUUGAUGAUGGGUCCUGUCAAAUCUUGCCGCCUGACACGGGGGGUGCCCCUGUCAGUCACCAUUUAAUGGGUGAAGACUUCUGGGCUCCUAUUACACCGGGAAACAGGAGCCUUGCUUUGACCAAAGCGGGAGGACCGACUCCGGCUGGGAUAAGAGGAUGAGAACCUCUCACCAUCAUUAUUUGAUGGGAUAUGUCGGGCUACACGUCGCCUGACACACGCGAUGGUGCGCCUGACAUCUUGGGUCCCAUCAGUCAUUCGACUGGUCACAGACCGGUUGGGUGCACUGCACACCGUAUUACAUGCGGCGUGGCGCGACCGCUCGGGACGCCAUAAAUGCGGGUAGGUGGGCCCCUGGAGGCGGACACCUAACCCACCAUACGUGGUGACCUAGAGAGGGGGUCGGGGGAGCCCGACCCCUAGUCACGGGAGGGGGUGACCGCCGCCCGACCUCGGGCCCGAUCCCCCCUCGGGAGGGGAGCCACGUGGCACCUGGGGCGGCCUUCUCCCUCUAGUCUCGGUCAGGGAGUGGCCGCCGCCCUACCUCGGGCCCGACCCCCCUCGCGGGAGGGCCACGUGGCAUUGGAGGGCAGCCUCCUCCAUCCAGUUUCUGGGAAGGAGUGGCCACCGCCCUACCUCGGGCCUGACUCCCCUGUGGGGAGGGCCACGUGGCAUUGGGGGGCAGCCUCCUCCGACUAGUCUUUGGGGAAGGAGUGGCCGCCACCCCACCUCGGGCCUGACUCCCCUCGGGGGAGGGCCACGUGGCAUCGAGGGGCGGCCUCCUCCCUCUAAACCUGAUACCCCCGGGCCCAUAUCACCGACACGCCUCUUUAUCUGAUCUCCGUGGUGGAUAAAAAGAGUGUCCAAACCGGCUGUAAUUUUAUAGCCCGCUUCUCCUCUUUCUCCUCUUUUUUCUCCUCCACCUUAGCAUUUAGCUGGCUUAUAGCCUACUAUUAUACUUGCUCUGAGUGAUGGGAGGCUACUGCGUGGACUAGCGAAGCACCGAAGGCUCCUUCGAACAUUAAUACUGCUGGUCGCCUAGGAGAUUUGGAACAAAAGGAACCGCAGGGUUUUCCAGCAAAAAGAGCUCUUGACGACUAGCCUAACAGCCAAAAUUAAGGAGGAAGCGAUAAAAAAACAUGAACCUUGGCGGGCGCGAAGCAUUUCGACCAAAGGCCUUGAGCCUGCACAUUUUUUUUAUUCUUGCGUCUUGUGCCUGUACAAUUUUACUCAUGUAUUCCAUGAAAUUGGCGGUUCGCCGAUUCGUUAAAAAAAGAGAAUAUGAUGAAUAUGUCAAAAAUCAUAAAUCUAGAAACAAAAACAGUUGUAAAAUCUAAUUUUGAUUCAUUGUAGCUCAAUGUAAGUACUACAUCCGUCCUAAAAUAUAGCUAUUUCUAACACAGUGUCUUGUCCCAAAAUGAAGCUAUUUUUCCACCUACCUCCUCCUAUCAACCAAUCACAACCAUUCUCAUUCACAUUCCUUUUCUUUUCAACUAAUCAUACACAUUCUCCAAUCAUUCUCACAUACUUUUUUAAUACCCGUGCCAACCUAAAAAAUGUCUACAUUUUAGGACGGAGGAAGUACUUUGUAACUAAGUUUAAGUGCUCUAUAACCAAGUAUAUAAAAGUGCUCUGUAUAGGAACACGAAUCUUGAUGUAAAGGUGAAAAAUUGAAAGGCAAAAACCUAAAAAAUAUAUCGUACUAGGUAAAAUAGCAAAAACGAAAACAAAAAGAUGAAAAAUGGAGACGGUUCGUUCUUACAUGUAGACAUGUAGUACUAGUGUGUAGUGUAGGCUUGUGGUGAACUGGUGUGGUGACCUUUCGUCCCUGCUCAUCAAAAUCUUUGUCCUGGAAAAGCGUGGAAAAGCACGCGUGGGGUGAUGCCGUACACCAAUCCUUAAUACCCUCCCAAUGCAAGUGGAGUACUGCAUGCAAAGUUGCAAAAACCACUACUGCACCAGACACCAGUACCCGACCAUCGAUCGCCAGGAUAAAUCUCUUUACCUCCCCACUGGACCAUUCAUUGUCUGUGUUUGCUUAGCUCUGAUGCAAUAUCCCCACACGAUCCAUCGAUGAUGACAAACAAUGGCCCGGGCUUUGUUUGAUGAUAGAUAGCAUCGCGCCCCAGUUGAUGUUGAUCAACGAUGGCGGGUCCGCCGCGCAGAGGGGAGCGCACCACCAAGCAGCUUAUGCUGCUGCUGCACAGAUCGAUCGAUGGACCACACCACCACUACCACUUCAGCAGUUCAGCUCGCUGCGCCACACCACAUGGAUGGGCGUCUUGGCUUUGGCUGUGUGCGUGUGGGCGAGGCUGCCUAGCGUAGAGACGGACGGCGAGCAUUUCCAGCGCGUGGUGGUGCGCGCGCGGGCGCGGUGCUCUCACGUGCGGGUCGCGCGGGCGCGGAGCGGCCGGGGUUGGUCGUACGCUGGCGGGACCGAAUCCCACAACAUCGGCCCGGCUCUUGCUCCGAUGCCUCGUCGUCGUCUUGUCCGCGGCUUCCAUUCCGUUUCAGGGGGCAUUCACCGCUGCGCCCAUCUCGAUGCCUGCUGCUGCUGCUAGAUUGUAUGUCAAUAAAUUGAAAAAAUAGAGUUUUAAUACACGACGCACUCAGCUAAACCGGCCUAUGCCAAGGAAGGAAGAAAACAAAGAUAAAAAACAAAGAAAGGAACUCGAAUUUGCUGCUGCUGCAGCGCUGCUACUAGCGAGUGCAACAGUAGUACAACCUAGACUAACCAUAGGAGAAACCAUUUCAGCUACAGUAAGGGUGGAGCUAGAACGAAAUGGGAAGAAAUAACACUCACUUGCUUUACUCUAUUUUAGGCUGAGCUUAGUCUGAUAUGAGCGUCUGAGUUUAGAUUGAAGGGGUACAUAUAUGAUAAAAAUAGAUGAACUAUAAUUUUAAAAAAAAUUAAAAAAAAUUAUUGAUCAGGUUCCUGGGCACCGCCACUCUUCAAUGUAGCUCCGUCCCUGAGCAGUGGUAAGCUGUAUGAGAGAGGAGAGAAGAGGAAAGGAGAGACAAAGUGAGAGCGGACGAUGAGCAUUGGCUUUGCGAGAAAAGUGAUGAGUGCAGAGGGAGUGAACUACUCUCUCCUUCCCAAAUUGAUUAUUAUACUAUAUAUUAUGCACCAAGAGACAAGACCAAGGCCCUGUUUGGUUCUAUGGGCUAAUUAUUAGCCCCCACCUUUUACUCCUGAAUUAGCCCUCAAUGAUCCAAACAGGUGGGCUAAUUUGAGGCUAAAGUGAAUUAGCCCCCCUUAAAACAUUAGCCCCUCCAAGGGGUGCUAAUGGGGCUAAUUUUAUGUGGGGACCAUAAAAAGCAGUUCUCUCUCUCCCUCUGUCUCCACCUUUUAGCCUUGAAUUAGCCCAUGGAUCCAAACAUACUACCCUAGACUAAUGUUUAGCCUACCAAUUCAUGACUAAACAUUAGCCCUGGGCUAAUCUUCUAAACAGGACCCAAUAAUUAUUUAAAUCAUAUCAAUUAAGACAUCAUGCACACAUUCUCCCAUAAUGUAUGCAUCGAUUAAAACACAAUGCCAAUCACAACUUAGCAUGCGUAUAUUUUUCCAUGCUACAUUAAUUGUAUUCUGAUGAAAUAUGUGUCCAUGCGGUUAUAUAAUAAUUAAUUUGAGAAAUUUUGAAUUCCAUUAUAUGAUGAUCAAUUUAGAAAGGAGGGAAUACAUGUGUGAAAGGAAGCUUAAGUUAUUUAAUAUGAUGUGAAGUUGGUGUGCCGAGCAUUAUUACAAUUUACUUAUUGUAUUCAUAAGUUACUAAAAGAGUUACAUGUGAGUUGGAUAAAAUUGAAGCAGCUGCCUACUCUACGAGUAUCGACCUCACUCUACGAGAGGCUGGAAUUAGAAAACGAGCCGAGCUAUACAAUAGAGAAUCUGGUAAGCAACCAAAUCUUUCCUUUUCACGGAGCAGCCCAGCCUUCCCUUUUCCUCCGUUUUCUCUAAGGUGUAUGAGAAAAAAGAAACAUACUCAACUAAAUAAUACCCCACUGUAAAAUAAAAUAAUUGGAUGUAAAAUAUCCUACUACUCUAUCCGUUUCGAAUUAUAAAGCGUCCUUAUUUAAAAAAAAUCAAAAUCGGUGACUUUUGACUAAUAAUCAAUAUCUACAACAAGUAUUACAUAUGUUAAUAAUAAGAUUGCAUUUUAAAAUACUUUCAUGUAAUAUUAACUUUAUAGUUGUUGAUGAUAUAAUAUGAAAUAAAUUAAUGGUCAAAGUAUGUCGUUGAAGACUGUGUAAAAAAUAUAGGCCUUAUAAUUUAUACUUCCUCCAUCCCAAAUAAAUACAGCUUUACACUAUUCAUGUUUAACGUUUGACCGUUCGUCUUAUUUGAUUUUUUUUUAAGAUUAGUAUUUUUAUUGUUAUUAAACGAUAGAACAUGAAUAGUACUUUAUGUGUGUGUCACGCCCGGAAAUUCACUAGUAAUUUUUGAACUUAUUUGUGCGUAAAAUUCUCAUCCAGGAAUCAGCCGAGCUACACAAACUGACAAUUUAAUAUAUAAAUCCAUCAUAAUAAUAACGUUACACACUUACAAAAGAAAAGAAAACAGCAGCGGAAUAACGGUCUAGCGAUGGCUUCAGCUCCACUCCCACAGGCAGCUCAACUGGGGUAUAAGCCAAACGUCUUCUCCUUCUGGAUCCUUUUUCUUCAACUGAGGUUGAUUGAUUAUUGCAAGAAUGAGCAUAUGACAUACUCAACAAGCCACACAGCAAAUAUGCAAAUGCACAAGGAUACCAAAGGAUGGCACAAUAUAGUCUCAUUUGCGAAAGCAGCAUUUAGCAAAGAGUUAAGAGUAGUAAAACAGUAGAGUAAUUAAUUAGAAAUUUUAAUCAACACUGAACAGCACACCCAUGCUGCACAGGCCCAACCAUCCUGAACAACCAUACCCGGCUAUACAGAUCUAACUCCAAACCAGGAGCUAAGCAAAUUAUUACCAGGUAUAACAUCCAUAAUUAUUGUGAGAGGUGUGAGACUAAUCACGAAAAACAUUGCUCAACCCGCCCAUAACCGCGGGCACGGCUAUUCGAAUAGUUUUACUCUGGCCAGAGGUGUACCACUGUACCCACAAGACACAGCCUCAACAUCAUGUCUACCAUGCGUCGCGAUACUGGAAAGUACCCGAAUAGAGGCUGUGACAAUACCCUCUGCACAACACAACUCACCACAGUGCACCAUUCCUGGAUCAUAAUCACCCCCUUAUAAAACAAGGCAUGGACUCCCCAGCGACCCCCGUGGGCUUAUCUCCGCCACUUCUCAGUCUGGUGCUCCGCAAUGAACCAUGCUAUACAAAAGGUAAAGCCGUUGCCCACGCUGGCUUGUGGUUGGCACGGUUAAUGUUUCACAAUAGUAGCUUGCGAACCGGUCCUUAAUUGUCAUGAGCACGACUCUCAAAACCAUAUGCUCACAACCCACCAUUAUCAAGUUUUAGUUGGCAAGUAAUUAAUUAACCAAUCACGAUUGACUAUCGUGAACUAUUAUUAAGCCAUCAUUAAAUAAUAGUGAGUCAUAAGUUAUCCCAAUAGUGUGCUAAUGUUUCUAAGCAUGGCUAAGCAAUCAUAUCUAAUAUCUAGCUGAACCAAUAUAUAAAGCUCAACUAGUCAAGUUAUAAUAACCCAAGGUAUCAAGGAAUAAAGUAAUCAAUGCAAACAGGCCAUAACAAAGGAAUAGAUUCACACCACCUAGUGACAUUCGAAAAUAAAUGCACAGUUGAAAUAAAGAGAGAAUUUAAAUAUAGGAUCAACAUGCUCAAAGGAUUGUGUUUAGGAUCUAUGUGACUUUCCUUGCAAUAAUCGGUCUUCAAUUAAUCUUCUGAACACUCCCGACGCACUCACGAACCUUCGCAACGAUGGAAACAACAAGCUAACACGCAAAACGAAGAAAAAGACUAAUAAAAACCAAAUAAACAGUACAAAAACAAGCAUAAACAGUACAUAUAAAGUAAAGAAACAUGUAGAUCAUGAUUUUAGAUGAAUUUAGCAACUUGAACCACUCAAAACCGAGUUACGAUGAUUUAGUUAUGAAUUUCCGAAGAUUAAAUCGGAUUAAAUCCUUUAUAUAGGUUUUAAUUGAAUUAUGACGCAAUAAUGAAUUAUUUUUGAAAAGGAAAAGAGGAUUAUUGCGUCAGCGGGUCGGGUUCAUGGUGGACCGGGUGCAUGGCGGCGGCUCACGGAAACGAACGGCCGAGAUCGAUCCAACCAAAACGAACGGCCGAGAUCUAUCGGUCCACGGCCGGACCACGGGAGACGACGACGAUGACGUCAGCGGUGACGUCAUCACCGGCGACGACUCGGGCACGCAUGCCCGCCGGCAAACGACGGCGCGGCGGCGCGAAAGGAGAGCACCAAAACGAUGCGGGCGACGCGGCGAACUCACCGGUGACCAAAACAACGGCGGAAGAUCAACGGACAGCAACGGCGACGAGGAAGAAGCGGCGACGACCUUCGGCUUGACGACGGCGAUGGUGUUCCAGCGGUCGACAGCGACGGCGGAGGGGCGGACGAGAUCGGCGACGGCUUGGUGUCACGCCCCGAACUAGUCCCGACCGGAACUAGCCCGUGACGCUCCAAAUUAACCUGUUAAUCGAUACCAGUCGCAGGGAACAGUGCUGGUAUCACAGGGAGACAGAAUAUCACAGCAACAGAGGUCUCUUUAUUAUAGAGUAGAUGUACAGUCAUGUUGGGCUGCGGACAGAUCCCGAGCUCACAACUGCAUUACAAAAGGAAAGCGGAAGCCAGGACUUGGACCAAUCAACACAGGCGCGACUUGGGAACUAGGCCGAAACCCUAAAACUCAUCGUAGCCGGCUUGCUCCUGGAAGAACUCCUCAUCAGUAGGAUCCGCUUCAUCUUCUUCAGCAACUGGGGGGGAAAUUAUUUAUAUAGAGCAAGGGUGAGUACGGGAGUACUCAGCAAGCCAUGGGAAAUAAGUGUUUAAUGCAGGCUUCAAGGAAAGGCUGGUGUUUUUGCAAUUAAUUUUAUUUGAACUCUUUUCUGAAACAACUAAGUGAGUGCUUCUCAAACGACACGGAUGAGACAGUGCGUCUCGUCCGGUCGGAGUAUGUGCAAUGUAUCAGUCUUUAGAAUUUAAACAAGGUUGGCACCCGGCCAACAGCUUUUUCAACGGCCACCCGGGCCAACAACUUUUCAAACGGCCACCCGGGCCUAGCUGAUCCCAUCAGCUGCAGAUUUUUCAAACACCGAACCCCUUUUCACACAGCAAUUUCACAAGCAGUAGUCAAACCAAACUACGCUAGGAAUCACCUCACAUCCGCCCAUGACCGUGGGCAUGGCUGUUCGAACAGUUUGUUAACCUCUGCAGAGGGGGUACACUUUACCCACACGACAUUACUAACCCGGAUCACCCAGCCCGUGGGGAUCAGCCACGUCGGGAGACCUCCAAGCUUUCAUGGCAAGGCAUUUCCAAAGCCGACACAGGUUUACCUUAUGCCGACGAGAGGGGUCCCAGACCAACAACAGGUUAGGUCCCAGACCAUACUGUGCCAGGAAGCCCAGGGGUCCUCCCCGACACCACCCCGGCGAAUCCACAUGUCUCUCGGCAUCAAGGCUCCCCUGAUAAGCUAGUUACUCAGCCAGGGGUGUCCCAUUCCACCCAUGUGGUCGUACUUGUCUUAUGUUUGGAUGAAAUUCCAAGGAAUCGGUCCUUAAGUGCGAGAGCGGGAAACCAUACACCCGGUACGUUUCCCGGUCCGCGGUUUUGGAAAUUCAUUUAGUUCGCAAGCACCGACCCAGGUGUCGGGUUUUCCAAGUCUUUUGUAAAACUCCAGUUUUACGCAAGUUGUUACUCAGAUUUUAAGUUUGAAGGCGACCGUCGAUACUGGCACAGGGUGCACGAAUAUCGAGGCGCAACUGGAUGAUUACAAGGGGACAUGGUAUAGCAAUUAACAAUGGAAGGAUCAAAUGCAACAAGUUAGGUAGGUCUGCCAAUCUGCCUUGCAGACGGAACAACAGAUUAAGUGCAAUCCUAUCAAUGCAUAAUAUUUUGCAAGCAAUAUAAUUAGAUUUCGAAUAUAGGCUCAAGAUGUCCAAAGGUGGCUUGCCUUGCUUGAGAUCUGGAGCUUGAUCCUCGAAAUCCUCGCUCUGCGGGUCUUCGGGCUCCGAAACUAUACGCAAAACGGGACAACUCAACAAACGGCGAAAAUAAAGCCCUAUUAAUGACCUCUAAGCAUGCCAUUAGAUAGAUCUCGAGAUUUGAGAAAUUUUGGAAUUUGAACGGAGUCAAACGGAUUUACGGUUGGGAAGAUAUUGAAUUUCUAAGAUUAUUGGAUUUUUGGUCUAAAGGAAAAGGAUUUAAUUAAAUCCUUUUUUUUUUGGAAAAGAAAAAGAAAAGAAAAGGGGAGAGGGAGGGAAUAUAGACUUCCCUCGGGCGGCUAGGGCGCGGCCCGAGAGAAAGGGCGGCUCGGCCGAGCUUAACGGGCCGGCCGGCCCAAGAAGGCGGCCCAGAGCGGCCCAAGACGCGCGCGCGCGGGAGGGAGGAGAGAGAGAGCCGGUGGACAGGGCUCACCAUGCGCGGUCCCGGGUGGGACCCGCUUGUCAGCGGCUCGGCUCACCGUGCGGAGGGAGUACGCGGCUCAUGCGCGCGGGCGGGGGAGGGACGCGGUGCACGCGCGCGGUUCGCGGUGGACGCGGAUGCGGCGGGCCCACGCGCAGCCUCACGGCUCGCGGUGGAACGCGCGCACGGGGAGGGACUGACCGGGGUCGGCUCGACCCGGUCUAGGCUGAGCUGGCGCCGACGUGGCGCCUACGUGGCUGCCACGCGGGCCGGCGGGAGGUAGACGAUGACCCGGCCGCGAAUGGACGGCGGGCGGCGGCGGCGAGCGGCGGAGCGAACCACGGCGAUACGGACAAAAGCGAGCACACCGGGCGGUUGCUCGUGAUGAGGGGAGACGAGCCAACGGCUCGGAUUUGCCGGAGGAAGCUUGACGGCGGCGACAACCGGCGGAGGGGGGGGAAGAGGGAAACGGCGGCGAGGCCACGAGGGAUCGAUUCCCGGCGGUGAGAGCAUCUACGCGGUUUCGGGAACUCGAUGCUAGCGUCGGAUUGGACGGAGCUACGCCUAGCGAGGCUGGCGACGUGUGGGUGCUACGGAGCUCGAGCGGCGACGGCGGCGAGCACACGACGAGCGACGGCAACGGUCGGGGCGGCGCCGGCUAACUACGGGGAGUCUACUCGAGCUACUACCGAAAGCUAGGGGGAGGAGAUGGAGCGAGGAGGAAGAACGGAGGGAGGCAUCACCGAGAUGAGGAGGGGCGCUGUGACGAGAGGCCGACGGCGCGGGAGUAAUCUCUCCGGCCUCGGGCCGGGGAAGAGGAAGGAGAGGGCGCGGCCGAAGUCCCCUUCCGCGUCCUUGCUCGUGCUGACUCCUUCGACACGCGCAACAACAAACGGCGACGGCGAACAGAGCACGGGGGCGGCAGCUAUGGCGAGGAGGCGAAAACGAGGGAGAUUGGAGGGGAAGGAGCUGGGGUUUAAAGGGGGCGGCAAUGUCGGUUUGGGAACCGACUUAGGGCGGUCAAGGCGCGAGCUGGCGCUCGGCGGUCGCGGCCAAAGCGGCGACAGGGAGGAUGACGCCGGUGGGGGAAAAGGGGAAAAAGGAGGGGGAGAAAGGGGCUUGCCCUUUUGCCGAUUCGGGAAAAAGGAGGAGGGGAGCGGGGGCGACGCGGCAGAGGGAGGAGGGGCGCUGCCUCCGUCCCUUGGCGGCUUGCGCGCGGAGUGGCGGGGGCCGGGCGGUGACGACGGCGAUGACGGCGGGCGAUUUGGAGCGGCGCGACGACACGGGCGACAGACGCGCACAGAGGCUGACGGCGGCGGCGACCGGGCGGUCGGCCACUCGGCACGCGCGCGCGGCUUGCAACGGGCGGCAUCCGCGCGGGCGUGCGCACGCGAACACGGCGCGCGGGAAGUGGCAGCGAGGGAGCGGAGAGGGAGGACUUGGCUCGUCUCGGGCGGCUUACGCAGGCGCGGCAGAGCGAGGAGAGGGGAAGGGGGCGCUCGGCGCGGUGGCUCACGCGCACGCGCGCGGGCGGAGCGGAGGAGGAGGAGCACUCGGCGCGGCUCUUCGCGCACGCGCGCGCGGCGCGCGGGCGAGGCGGAGCGGAGCUGAGCGGGGGGGGGGGGGGAGCGGAGCGCGCCGGGGAGGGGAGAGGGCGAGAGAGAGAGAGAGAGAGAGAGAGAGCGCCCGGGAGAGGGGGAGAGGGAGCGCGCCGGGAGGGAGAGGGCGGGGGAGAUGGGCCGGGAGAAAAUCGGCCCAUCGACCCCCGGGGGAGGCAAAAUAGACUUUUGCGGAGGAAUUUGAUUUGGAAGGAUUGGAUUCGGGAUUGGACUCGACGAUAGAUCGGGGAUUGAGAUCUUGAGAUGGCACGGACACUAGACAACAAGCAAAGAAACAAAUUUCACAAUUAGGGUUUUUAAGAGAUAAUUUUCCCGCUAGGCGCCACGACGGAACGGGCGCUACACUUGGCGAUCCCGAUGGCGGCUUUCCCGAGCGACGACGACGACCGGAGCGACAGCGGCGCACGGCUGGACGAACGGCGGCGACGGCGACGGCGGCGCAAAAGCUCACGGGGCUAGGGCGCUACAGACGGCGGCGGGCUAAGGCGAGAGUGGCUGCGGGUAGAGGGGAGCUCGGGGGUCCUUUUAUAGGGGCAAGGAGGCGGCGGCGAAGGCCCACGGCAACCGGCGAUGCGAAGGAAAGGUUAGGGUUCAGAGAGAGAGACGAAUCCGAUUCGAGAUCGAAUCCACGAGUUUCCAAACCGAAUUAGGUGAUGAUUCUAAAAGAGAAAAGGUAGAGGAGAUCGAGAAGAUCAUUUCCGCAAAUACUCUCCCGAGGCAUCGAGUCACCUACACAUGAAACAAACAAAGAAACUGUCACAUCCUGAUUUUUGUUUCAGGAUUUAUAAAUUAUUUAAUAAAUUAUUAUUAGAAUUUAUAUUAAACGUUCAUUAAUUUACAAGUGAAGUUAAAUGUGGGAAAUAAAAUUUCCUAAAUUUAAAGCAUGGAUGGAUUUAAUUUUUAUUAAAUUCUCUAUGAUUAAGUAUACUCUCUGAAAUUUUCUCGGAUUUUUUGGAGCUCAAUUCCUAAAUGAUACAAAGAACAGUUCAGUAAUUAUUUGAUCAUUAAUGAUCUAAUUAUAAUUGUUAAGAGCUUUUCUUGUUUGAAAAUCCUUAAAUUAUAAAUUGUUGUUUAAAAGGAAUUAUUAGAAAUGAUCUUAAAAGCCUAAAAGAGAAGAUCUAAUUUUAAUUUGCUAAAUCUCAAUAUAAAAUUGGGCUAGAUAAAAUUUUGUUAAAUACUUCUCUUGAAUCUUUAGUUCCUAGAUUUUUCUGGGAUUUAUUUGAGCCAAGAAAGUAUUUUUAAUAAAUGGAAUUGCAUUUCAUGAAUAAUUUAAAUUAAAAAAGGUUUUUAAAAGUCUCUUUUGGCUUUGGGCAGAAAGCCGGCCCAAAACCUCUCUCUCCCUCGGCCCAGUCGGCCCAGUCCGGCAGCAGCCACCCGCGCGCGCAUCCGCCCGCUGACAGGUGGGGCCCACCUGUCAGGGCUGUCUUCCUCCUCCAGCCGUCGCCCGGCCGAACCCUAGCCGAGCCGCGCCGCCGCCGCCUUUCCUUUUUCGCUCGCCUAUUUCCCGAUCCGGUGAAAUCAAUAGAGGGGAAAUGAUCUUCUCGAUCUCCUCUACCUUUUCUCUUUUGGAAUCAUCGCCUAAUUCAGUUUGGAAACUCGUGGAUUCGAUCUCGAAUCAGAUUCGUCUCUCUCUCCGAACCAUAAACUUUCCUUCGCGUCGCCGGUCGCCGUGGGCCUUCGCCGCUGCCUCCUUGCCCCUAUAAAAGGACCCCCGAGCUCCCCUCUACCCGCAGCCACUCUCGCCUUCGCCCGCCGCCGUCUGUAGUGCCCUAGCCCCGUGAGCUUUUGCGCCGCCGUCGCCGCCGUUCGUCUAGCCGUGCGCCGCCGUCGCUCCGGUCGUCGUCGUCGCUCGGGAAAGCCGCCAUCGGGAUCGCCAAGCUGUCGCCGAUCUCGUCCGCCCCUCUGCCGUCGCUGUCGACCGCUGGAACACCAUCGCCGUCGUCAAGCCGAAGGUCUUCGCCGCUUCUUCCUCGUCGCCGUUGCCGUCCGUUGAUCUUCCGCCGUUGUUUUGGUCACCGGUGAGUUCGCCGCGUCGCCCGCAUCGUUUUGGUGCUCUCCUUUCGCGCCACCGCGCCGUCGUUCGCCGGCGGGCAUGCGUGCCCGAGUCGUCGCCGGUGAUGACGUCACCGCUGACGUCAUCGUCGUCGUCUCCCGUGCUCUGGCCGUGGACCGAUAGAUCUCGGCCGUUCGUUUUGGUUGGAUCGAUCUCGGCCGUUCGUUUCCGUGAGCCGCCGCCAUGCACCCGGUCCACCAUGAACCCGACCCGCUGACGCAAUAAUCCUCUUUUCCUUUUCAAAAAUAAUUCAUUAUUGCGUCAUAAUUCAAUUAAAAUCUAUAUAAAGGAUUUAAUCCGAUUUAAUCUUUGAAAAUUCAUAACUAAUUCAUUGUAACUCAGUUUAACGUGGUUCAAGUUGCAAAAGUUAUAUAAAAUAAAGAUCUACAUAUUAAAAUUAUCCAUAAAUAGAAUUAAAUUUAUUUAAUUCUUUUUAAAUGGGCUUUAAUUAGAUUAAAUCUUGUAAAAUUCGUAAUAAAUUCAUAUGAAGUCAGAAUGAGGCCGUUCAAGUCUCAUAAUUCAUCUAAAAUUAUGAUCUACAUGUUUGUUUAUUUUUUAUGUACUGUUUAUUUGGUUUUUAUUAGUCUUUUUCUUCGUUUUGCGUGUUAGCUUGUCGUUUCCGUCGUUUCGAAGGUUCGCGAGUGCGCCGGAAGUAUUCAAGAAGAUUAAUUGAAGACCGAAUAUUGCAAGGCAAGUCACACAGAUCCUAAACACAAUCCUUUGAGCAUGUUGAUCCUAUAUUUAAAUUCUCUCUUUAUUUCAACUGUGCAUUUAUUUUCGAAUGUCACUGGGUGGUGUGAAUCUAUUCCUUUGUUAUGGCCUGUUUGCAUUGAUUACUUUAUUCCUUGAUACCUUGGGUUAUUAUAACUUGACUAGUUGAGCUUUAUAUAUUGGUUCAGCUAGAUAUUAGAUAUGAUUGCUUAGCCAUGCUUAGAAACAUUAGCACACUAUUGGGAUAACUUAUGACUCACUAUUAUUUAAUGAUGGCUUAAUAAUAGUUCACGAUAGUCAAUCGUGAUUGGUUAAUUAAUUACUUGCCAACUAAAACUUGAUAAUGGUGGGUUGUGAGCACAUGGUUUUGAGAGUCGCGCUCAUGACAAUUAAGGACCGGUUCGCGAGCUACUAUUGUGAAACAUUAACCGUGCCAACCACAAGCCAACGUGGGCAACGGCUUUACCUUUUGUAUAGCAUGGUUCAUUGCGGAGCACCAGACUGAGAAGUGGCGGAGAUAAGUCCACGGGGGUCGCUGGGGAGUCCAUGCCUUGUUUUAUAAGGGGGUGAUUAUGAUCCAGGAAUGGUGCACUGUGGUGAGUUGUGUUGUGCAGAGGGUAUUGUCACAGCCUCUAUUCGGGUACUUUCCAGUAUCGCGACGCAUGGUAGACAUGAUGUUGAGGCUGUGUCUUGUGGGUACAGUGGUACACCUCUUGCCAGAGUAAAACUAUUCGAAUAGCCGUGCCCGCGGUUAUGGGCGGGUUGAGCAAUGUUUUUCGUGAUUAGUCUCACACCUCUCACAAUAAUUAUGGAUGUUAUACCUGGUAAUAAUUUGCUUAGCUCCUGGUUUGGAGUUAGAUCUGUAUAGCCGGGUAUGGUUGUUCAGGAUGGUUGGGCCUGUGCAGCAUGGGUGUGCUGUUCAGUGUUGAUUAAAAUUUCUAAUUAAUUACUCUACUGUUUUACUACUCUUAACUCUUUGCUAAAUGCUGCUUUCGCAAAUGAGACUAUAUUGUGCCAUCCUUUGGUAUCCUUGUGCAUUUGCAUAUUUGCUGUGUGGCUUGUUAAGUAUGUCAUAUGCUCAUUCUUGCAAUAAUCAAUCAACCUCAGUUGAAGAAAAAGGAUCCAGAAGGAGAAGACGUUUGGCUUAUACCCCAGUUGAGCUGCCUGUGGGAGUGGAGCUGAAGCCAUCGCUAGACCGUUAUUCCGCUGCUGUUUUCUUUUCUUUUGUAAGUGUGUAACGUUAUUAUUAUGAUGGAUUUGUAUAUUAAAUUGUCAGUUUGUGUACAUCAGUUGAUUCCUGGAUGAGGAUUUUAUGCACAAAUUAGUUCGGAAAUUAUUAGUGAAUUUCCAGGCGUGACAGAAACCAUAUUCCGAGACCAAGCUAUUCCCAACUUGACUCAUUAGUAGCAAACAACAGUAUUACAUACGUAUAGAAUCCAUCUAGAAACCAUAACCAUGAAACAAUCACGGAUAUCCAAAGAAACAACCCGAAACCGAAACCGACUCAGCGUCGGCCGGUCAGACCGCGGGCCUGGCCGGUCUGACCACACACAUAGCACCGGUCUGACUGGCAACCUCCACCCGGUCGGACCGGUCACAUAAAAUAACAGUGAAUCCGAUCAUCACCUGAAAAUUGAUUAUCUCCAAAACAUGCCAAUUGUUUAUCACAGAAUAAGAAUUAAAACACACAUUGAUCUUAUAGCGUUUUCUUCCGUGUUUGGUUUCCGAUGUGAUUUUGGAGCCACUUUUAUAACAAGUAUGUCCAUACUUAUUAUACUAUGUUUUGUCACAUCCAAUUCUAGGUUUGUUUUUUUACAGAAGAAGUAGGCACUUACUUUAUAUCUAAAAUUUGUAGUACUAUAGUAUGUAAUAUCCAAUAUUAAUUUUAUUUAUUUCGAUACGGAGGAAAUAUUAUUCAGUUCUGUUUUUUCAAUCGGUGAACCCAAUAGACCCUUAACAUACCGCACUUGACUUUGACGUGCAUUACGACCUAAUUUGAUUUUGAAUUUUCGAAUAUGAUUUUUUAUAAGUAAUUUUAGGUAGAUUAACAAGCAACGAAAAUGAACGAAAAUUACUAAGUAAACCACUGAAAUCAAUCUGAAAUAAAAUUUUAAAACUUAUAUGAAGAUUUGCCUAGCAACACCUUAGUUUGAUGCUGAUGGCAUUAAACGGGUAUGCAGAUGCCCAUGCUCCAGAGUCCAGAGGGCUAUUAGUGCGUUUAAUUUCCAUACCUCUCUGUUCGUGCGAAUAUGAUAGUUGUGGUGUAGAUAUUUUUAAAUAAUGAAAUAGGCGUCAUGUGUAGUGUAGAGAUAUGGCAUAUGUGAAAAAUGUGUCAAGCCGUGCUCUUGGAAGUAUAAUCCUAAUCAAUAAAAACAGAAACUUGCACGACUGUACGAUCUCCAGUUCUCCUUUGGGAGUAACUAGUUGGUUUGAGUUUUGUUUUUUAAUGGGUUUGAUUUGAUUCAUUGAUUGUGAUGCCCUUUAAUCAUUGUAGUCUUAUAAUGUCGUCGUACUCACCCGUGUUUCAUAUUAGACGUCGUUUCAACCAUUUCUACUAAUUAUUUUUUAAAGUUUCAUCAAGUUUAAAAAUAUAUAGCAAUAUUUUAAACACAAAACAAUGAUAUUAUUAAAAAUAUAUUCAAUAUUACAUUUAAUUAAACUAACUUAGUGUUAUAGAUGUUGCUAAAUUUUUUCUAUAAACUUGAUUAAAUCUAAAAAAAAUUGACUGGAUAAAAAUAGAUAAAAUGACUUAUAAUAUGAAACAGAGAUAGUACGGUGUACUUUACUCCUUUAGAUGUUUUACAGUCAUACUUCCAUGCGGAUAUUUUCCUUGUAAAAUUCAUGUUGAGCAUCCAAACAACUCAUUUGACAAAUUACAAUGUUUUAAAUUUUCAUAUAAUAGCAUAUGCCAUGACAUUUAAUUAAUAUGUUUUUCUUCUUUUUUUGUGACUUUCUACUCAUGUGUUCGAAAGGAGCACCAAAUCAAACAGUCCGCACCGCACGUUAAUACUGCUAGUCUCGCGAGGGAUUUGGAAGUAAAUGAAUCAAGAACCUUUCAGCACAAGUAGCUCUGGGCAACCGGCCUAGUCACAAAGAUCAGGGAGAAGCCCAAGGGCCUCAGAAAAUUGGCUACUUGGUUGACUAGUCACUAGCUGGGUUUAAGGAUCUAGCUUUUACUUUUGGGAGUAUCUAAAAUACCGCCGCAAAUUUUUUUAGUGAAGAACUUUUAGAAGUAACUAUAGUAUAAUAGAAAUAUAACUGUAUUGUAAUUAUACUGUAACCUAUAUAAAACUUGUAUUUAACUAUGAUUUGAUUGACUAUCAUCGGGAUUUUACACGUGACAUGUGUGAUAAUUUUUUCUAGCAAUUUUUUCUCAGUAUGUACAAAUCUCGAAGCGAUCCGAUGACUACAAAUCUGCAAGCUUUGAGAGAAAAACUUACGGAAGUUUUCUAGCAAUUCCGUUACUUUUUCUCCUUUUCCUUACUGUACAGUUUGUUUAUAUUGACGCUCCUCCAUUCGUUUUGAAAAAAAGAAAGAAAGAAAGAAAGGAGCCCUCAACCGGCAACGGAUGGUUCACCCGACCAGCCCACGGCCCGCGCGUGUCGCUGCCUCUGAUCCCGCGCGCGGCAGUGAUAAACUUCCGGGAGUUUGCACAUGGGCCUCCGUUCGCGGACGCCACAGGCCACAGCCCCUGUAACAGCCACGCACCAUCAUCUCCGUCCCUUUCGCGGAAAAAAGGCCCCCACGGCCUCGUAACCGCGACUGUCUCCGCGCCGCGCGCACGACACCGCCGGUGUGCGAGUGGAUGCACGAGGCGCGACUCGCGAGAGACGGCUCGGCGCCGACGACCGAAGAGUCGACGCCGGUGUUCGCUUGCUUGCUUGCUGCUGCUGGUGGUGGUGAUUUCCGUAGUAAAGUUAGUAUGGAGCCAUCGUUUCAUGAAACGGUAUAUUUGUAAACGAAAAAUAAUUACUUACGUAUUCAUAGCGAUCCAAAAAAAAAAGGCUAAACAAUAAAUUUCGAUGAAAAACCUUAGAAUCAACUUUAAAUUUAAGAUUAAAAAUUUAAAUUUUGGCUGAUAAGUAUAAUCAUAAGCGAAAAGCGAAAAGAUAAGUACCUAGAGUUAUAAGGGCUUGCUGUAGUAAAGUUGACUUGAGAAACGUACUUCCCGAGUGUUUCACUGACUGACUGCUACUAACAUACUCUUACUCCAGUAGAGAAACGAACACAUGUUCAAAAACUUAGACUAAUAAUUCACGAGUCAAAUGGGGAUCGAACCGAAGAUCUGAACUAGUGAGAACAUUAAUUUCUCACCGGAACAGAAUCUCUGGACACGCAAAAAAAACUAACCGCAUGUGAGGAGACGAGCACACCAUAUGCUCGUCGCACAUGGUUGGCCUCUAAAUUUCUACGGACGAUCGACACGCCAAAGGCAAGCGAAGAAUCCUUCAAAAUUUCGAACAUAAACUACGUGUUCCUAUAGUCCUAUCUGUGAAUCUUUCAACUCGGCACAACCACUCGCCAAUGACGGUUCAUCUCACACUUGUUGUUUAUGCCAAGAUGGAACAACCUCAUCAAUCAUCAGUGUACUGUAGUAGACUGAACAUAUCUUACCAUGACAUGGCUCACGUGGCUGGUGGUGGUGAGCAUCAAUGGGAGUGAUUUGAAAUGAAUCAUUUCGUACAUGGAAGGGACUGAUUCAUCAAAGACCUACACUGUCGGUCACAACGGAGUACUCCCUUCGUCUAAAAAAAAAAAAGUAACCGAAGAUAUCCCUCCCUAGUAUAACGAAUUUGGAUAAAUUACUAGGAGACGGAGGGAGUAGUAGUGAUCUUCCUUUCCUUCUUGAAAAAUCAAUUAUAGUAGUACGUAGUUGUUUUUCUGAAUAAUGAACUAGUGAAAUGUCAUCGUCAAACAGAGGAGCAGAAGAGAUGUAGUAGAAAUGUAAGAGAAACCCCUUUUCAUAUUCAUUCAUCCAUCAGCAGAUGAGUAAUUAUGAAUUAUGAUCGUAAUACGUUGUAAAAAAAAAUACUCCAAUUCGAUCCUACAAACAUUGCCUACUAUGUCCAAAAGAAUGGCUCUUUCAAAUCAAUUCAAAAUAGAAUCAAGUGUGGAGAAGCAUGAACAAUGUGCUGCUGUUGCAAAUUUGACUCCAAGAACUCUCUCUCUCUCUCUCUCUCUGAUCAUCACCACAGGAGCAUCAAGCUACCAGCCAAUGCCAUCACCAAGCCAUUGACGACGCCGGCGCCGACGCCGCACGCGGCGCUCGUCGAGUCCGCCUUGCCGCCGCCGGCGCCCGUCUUGCCGGACGCCGGGCCGGGCGCGAGGUCGGACGCCCCGGACACCGGCGCCGGGGCGGGCGCCGGCGCCAGCGGCGGGUCCUUGCUGAAGAUCUGCAUGGGCAGGAGCACCUUGUUGAGCGCGUACACCGCCACGGGCCUCGUGGCGUACACGCUGCUCGAGAUCUUGGGCCUGGACCACAUCGACUGCACGGAGAUGGUGCCCAUGUCGUCGGUGAGGUUCAGCGUGUACGGCGCGCCGGCGAACGUGUUCACCGGGUUGAGCUCGCUGAGGUUCUUGAACUCGGCCAGGGAGUAGAACUUGGGGAACGCGUGGUACAGCAGCAGCGUCUUGAGCUGGUCGCCGGUGAGGUUGGAAAAGGUGGACUGCUUGAUGGCGGCGAACGCCGAGUCCUUGGGGACGAAGAUGGUGACGCCCUCCUUGGUCUUGUUCGCCUGGCUCUGGAACGUCUCGAUGACGUUCGUCUUCUCCAGGUAGUUGAGGAACGUGUGGAACGGCCCGGCCACGCUGAGGAGCUCGGCGAGGUCGACGUAGUGCGGCGCCGGCGCCGGCGCCGGAGCCAAGCUCGGUGGAAGCGACACCGGCGACGGCGCCGCCGGCGGGCUCUUCUUCUGAGCCAAUGCCGGUGACGGCGACGAUAGGAGGACGGCUACGACGGCGGCCGCGAACAUGGCUGCUUUGAACUCCAUCUUCUCUUCUCCUCUGAUCCUGAUCCCUGAGAUCAUUUAAGCAAUGUACAUUGUACAGUGAUCAAUGCAAGAUGAAUUUUCUUGAUCAUAAAAACCAAAAUGUUUGUUUGUUUUUUGGCUGAGAUCUAUCUGUAUUUGAACUGAACUGCUUAGUGACAUCACGAUCAUUAGAUCUAGUUUAGGUGGUCACAUUAUAGUAGUAGUCUGAUAGUGUCACCUACCAAAAUCAGGACACAUGAUAAACUGGUUGCUUCAACAACAAAAAAGAUACUUAUGUCUUUUAGAUCUCAGCACAGCACAAAGACAAAAAGAGAAGGACCAACUACCAAAGCUGAACAUUCAAGAGUCUACACCAAGCAUACACAACAAUCUUCGCUUCGACUUAAAGAAAAAGAGAUACCCUCAUGUGCUAAAAAAAAUCUUAAUUUCUCAAGAUCAUUCAAGAAUUACAUAUGAAAAAGAUCAAAAUAUACCAUAAGCAUAAAAGUACAUUCAACAAUAAGUAGCCCCAAGCUAUUAACCACAAUGACUCAAUGAGAUGAAACUAUGAAAUUUGCAAAAGGUAACAACAACUCCAAAUUGCAUUGCAAAUGCAGGGGAGAAUUCAGAUUCUGCAAACCUGAGCAGAGCAGGGGAAGGAGAAGAGAAGAGAAGAAGAGGGCAACUGGACGGCAAAGUGUUGAGACUUGAGGGGAGGGGAUGCUAUAUAGAAAGGUUGGUGUUUGUGUGGAAAGGAAGAGAAUAAAUUAUGAGAUUCAUAUGGGGGGUGGCGGCUGUUGCGGCCAUUGCAUUGCAGGUCAGUAGGCACCACCACGACCACACCUCUCAACCAAGAGGUGCAUAAUGAAAGCUGGCCAGGUAUUAGCUGCCCUUUUCUUUCUGUCCUAGCUUUCUUCCCUCCCUGUUCUUGAGUAAAUUGCACUGCUUGUUUAGUGUUAGUACCAUUAUUAAGUGCUUGUAGAAUUAGUUUUAAGUUUUUGUACCUCGUGCAUAUCGUGUACGGAUCACCGAUACAUAAGUGUACACGAUAAUUUCCAUUCUGUUUGUUUCGAUUUAUUUGAGAGAAAUAGGGUAGCAUUUAUCUCACAUUUACUGAUAAAUUCCUCUUCACAUUUGAUGUUUGUAAUGUUUUGCCUUUUCUUGGUGUAUGUAAUAUGGGAACAAAUGGCGCAAACGUGUAUUUUUCGCACUCUUUUUUUUCCCUGGAGUGUGUACUGUCUGGCCAAGAUACUAGUUUUAAUGUAAAGUCCAACUUGUAAUUGUGCAGUGUUGUAUUUCUCGCAAAUCUGACUUCUCAAAACCAACUUGCAGGCUUUGGCAUUUUUUAAUUGUUCUUGUUCAAAACUGUAAGAUGACUAAUGUAAUUUUUCUAUUCACUGUCUGGCACCUAGAUCCAUUAGACAAACAAAAAUAUUUUAGCAUAUUUUGCAAGUACAGAUGCAUGCAGGACAAAGAAGAUUGCACAAUGUACUGAGAAGUAAGGGUGUGUCCUCAAAGGUCAGAGCACAGAAAUUCCAAUUUGAAGUACUAUCUGCAGUGAAAGGGAAUCACUCUUUGCUGGAGCUCAGACCAUGUACUGCAAACUUCAGAAGACACUGAUGAGUAUAGUAUAGAAGUUGAUUAUCAAGGCUAUUUCUCGGAAGAAUCCAAUUCAGCUUAGGCCUUAGGGUAUCAUGUGUGGUUUAUAAAUUUGACAACGCAACCAAUGCUCCAUUUCUAUCAAGGAUUCCCCCAACUUGCUUGAUACUCAAAGUACUAAGACCAAACUCAUUUUUUCUCCUUAAAGGAACCAAACAUAGAACCUUUUUCCAUGAAAAAAUGUGGCAAACUGCUAUCAGCUAGCUUUUUUUGCUUCCCGAUAAUGAUAUUUCCAGAAAAGAAAAGAAUACAUCUCUUGAAUAGAGUUCAUGUUAAAGUAUAAUCACAUUAAAAAGGUACGAUAGCUUCCAUUUCUAGUCACCUUUUCAACUGCACCCUAUGUGUAACUGGCAGCUUUUGUUGCAGAUUAAACAGAAAAUGCCCGGCGACAAAUUAAAUAUUGUACACUUUUAAUUUUCAUAGAGUAUUGUUGUGAUUAAUUGUGUACUUCUUUCUUGUGAACCCCCCCCCCCCCCCAAAAAAAAAAGCAGCAAGGAUAAUAAAAUAUACUGAACAUAGUAUAUAAAAAUUGGAUUCGAAUAAUUGGAAAUCAUAACCGAAUGAGCUAUUUGAGCUGAUUUUGUAGUGUCGGUGAGAUGACCACUUGACUCGUGUGAUGGCCUGAUGCAGCUUGUAUCUGGUGGGAUUAAGCAUCUUCCCUUGCAUCAAAUGUAGAAUAAUAAUUGUUCAGCGGUAGGUAACAACUCGUUAAUCAUCCGAGAAAUGAAAACUCAUUUCAUGAGCUGUCAUUGCCAAUUAGGCUUUAAGAAAAAAUAGAUUUCGUACCGCUUCGUCAUUUCCAAUCAAGUGAGAUCCUUAAAAUCCAUUGACUACAAAAUCGACGGAUCUGACAGCAUAUUGGAAUUUUCAUAUCUAUAUCGAUGACUCAGUUAAAAAUUACUACCGACAGAAUGAUUUUUAUUCCUAUAUAAAAAAAUAUAACUUUGUGUACAGACUAUCUCCAAUACAUUUCAACAAUAUCAUAUCUUUUGUGCAUAUCAAGCUAUAUUGAGCUUUCUUAAUUAAUAUAUCACAUUGUGGAAAUAAAAUUCCUUGGAGGCCAGCAGGUUAUAAUUAAUGAAACCAAUCCAAUUUUCAACUUGUUUUUCUCCUUUCCAAGAAACGUGAACAUUGGUUAAAAUAUACUAUUUCUUCCAUUUAAAGUCAUUCUGCCAAGAACAGAGCCCUUGUUUUUGUUUCUUCUAGAACUGCAGUAAGCAAUGCACUACUCCUUAAUAUUAAACAAUCAAUGCCUACUUCAAGAUUAUACUAGUACUCACUACUCAGUAGCAUAAAGUCACCUUCUCCUUUCACUACCUCUGACUUCUCUAAUGAACUUGAAUAGAACAGUUGUUUUAAGUGGUUGCUGCCCUUAUGGAUCACUUCUAGUUAACCUACCCCCUUAAACUGUAGGGUGAUGCAAUCCCUGAGAACUUCGCAUGUAACCUUCUUUCUCUUUUUGACUAUCCCCAAAAUCUUUAACAUCAUAUUCAGGUCACAUUACGGCCAUCAGAAGGAAACAAAUCACUAAACAAUUACUACAUCUCCUAAAUAAUCGACUCUGCAUUUUCGUAGCAGGGAUGUUUGUCCACAUGAAACAUGAUUCCUUCCCAUCACACCGAAGAAAAGCAUUGCAUUUGAUAGCUUUGUUUAAUGAAUCCAAGACCAGAAAAAAUAAAAAAAACUAAUACUAUGUGUUUCCAUUCCUGCAUGCAGAUGACGAUGCCUUAUUCUUCAGCAUGGCAGGAGAUGUCCCUGGAAUGCAAUUAUUGUGGACUAAUGACACGAUAACCACCGGAAAAUGAACACGGGAAAAGGAGAGGAUUGACGUAGAACGGGGAGAAAUGGUUGUCACGAAGCACACGCUUUGCUGGACAAACAUCCACAUCUGCCGCCAUCGUUCAAACAAUGCAUCCAUCCACGCAAAGAAAAAGGCAAAUCGAAAGCAAUUUUCUUUCUCUUGCAAGGCAUGCCAUGCCUGUCAAUUCAGACUUCAGAGCAUCAAGGAAGCAGGCUAUUGGGCUCACAGAUUUUUGGGCUUUGGGGACAUGGGCUUUUGCAGUCCAGUUCUAUUUAGUAGGCCGUGUCCGAGGCCUACGCAAAUGCAUUCCAAAUUUCCAAUACAGCCCACGUGCAUAAACUUUCGUGGCCCAUUUGUUUCCUGCCCGUUUUCCCUUUCCCUUAGGAGGCCCGUUGGCCCAUGGAAUUUGAGUGGGUUUAUACUAGCCUAACACGUACACUACUAAUUUUUGCAUAAAUUUUAUACAUUAAAACUUUAUGUAUAAAGGGCUGGUUUGGUUUGUGGCCUAAAUUGGCCUUACCAAUUUUUGGUAAGUUUUGGUAUGACUAAUUUUGAGAAGGUAAAGUUGUAUUUGGAUUGAAGCCAAAAUAGCCUAAGUUAACUAUUAAAAUGGCAUAUUUUCUUAGGCAUGCCAAAAUUUGGCUUUAAACCAAAUAGACACUAAACACUAUUGAAAUUGCCAAAUAUUGGUAAGCCAAAUUUAGGCUUAAAACCAAACCAUCCCAAAAUUAUUUGAUAUAUGCACUUUGCUAAUGAAUUUUAGAAGAAUUUUAAAACAAUUUCAAAAAGAAAAAAAUAUAUUCUAUGAACUUUCUAUUGUGGCGUCUAAACUACCCUACGCACACUUUUAGGGCGAAAUUGUUUUAGGGGCAAACUGUGCCAAAAAAAAACAAGAUGCGUGGUAGACAUUUCAUUCAUUGGCAUGGUUUAAUGCAAACAAUUUUGGGGACCAAAAUUUAAACCGAAUAUUUUAAAUAUAAAAGUCAACUUGAAACAAUUUUUAACUGAAUAUGUAUGCUUUUGAAUUGACAAAUUGUAAUUUUAUGCCAAAAGCACAUCCUAUCGGGACCCACAAACAAACCCAAAACGAUAAAUAAUUUGUGAAUAAAACUUUUACCUACGUGUUCUUAACGACCUAAAAGUAAAGGCUGAAAAAUAAACUUCGAUGAAAAAAAAAUCUCAAAAUCAGCUUUAAAUUUAAUAUUAAAAUUUAAAUUUUGGUUAAUAAUUAAACAUAAGCAUACAUAAAAGAUGGGGCCGUAGGAGUCCUAUUCGUUGGUCACCGUAUGGGCCUCACAUGAUGAGAGUACAUGGGCAUCAUAGAAACUUCUUGAAAUCGAGAGAAACCAGUGGCCGAUCGAGGUGAUGUCUGUCGGCAGACCAACCACAAAUCGGCACAAGUUUAAGGAGUAAGGACCAUCGGUGUGGUAAAGUGGGCUUGGCACAUGCUGUUUCAUUUCAUGGUAUCCUCUAUCUCGACCAACUUGCUGCUGAUGCUGCUGCUUGCCUGCUUCUGCCGGACGCCUUUCCUCAAAGUGAUGAAGUUGCCAAACCUGAUUUGAGCUACGGACCAAAGUUAGCUUGCCAAUUACUCCCUCCGUCACCACAAUAUAAGAGUUUUUAAGUUUUUGCUUACAAUAUUUAACCACUUGUCUUAUUUAAAAAAUUUGUGUAAAUAUGAAAAACGAAAAGUUAUGCUUAAAAUACUUUGGAUAAUAAAGUAAGUCAAAAAAAAUAAAUAAUAAUUUUAAAAUUUUUUAAAUGAGUUAAAUGGUCAAACAGUAUAAGUAAAAACUCAAAAUCCCUUAUAUUAUGGGACGAAGGGAGUACUAUUUGGCUCAACUGCAACUGCACGUACUAUAUUCACAUGCUAACAUAAGCUUUGCGUAAGUGCUUGGUUUUACAACAAUAAAUGAAGGAAAAGUUCUUCGCUUCUUCUGCCUCUGCAGCAAUGCUAUGUUUAAUUUAACCACGCACAGAGCAAGGCGCAGAUUCGCCGCGUCCUGUCAAUGAUAUUCCAACUCACUGUCACUGUCAUAUGAUCUGCAACCUGCCUAAACCGGCCCGAAUCCAUGGGCUUCCUCUCCUUUUCUUUAUACAACAGCUAGCGUAUCUCCCUCGAGGCGAACAAGAACUUUGCUUACGUUUAGCAUUUCUUCACUUGGCGAAAAACAACUCGUCAACAUUGGCACAUCCCACAGCAUAUUACCAGGCCAAAAACCAUGCGCAAUAAUCUGAUUAAUUAACGCGUUGUAGACACGCGGAUUCGACAGUAUAAAUAGCGGCAACUCGUUCUCACAUCUCGUCAAACACCUACAACACCUGAACCAGCUGAGAGCUAGCCAAGAAUUCGAUCGGGCGAGAUGAGCGUGGAGAUUUUGGAUGGGAGGACGGUGGAGAGCUUCGUGGAGGACGAGGGGGCCUUCAACUCGACGGUGGACGACCGGUUCGCGGCGCUGGACGGCGACCGGGACGGCAGGCUGUCCUACGCCGACAUGGCCGGUGAGCUGAUGAGCCUCCGCGUGCUGGAGACCCACUUCGGCGUCGACGGCGCCGCCGCCACGGACGCCGAGCUCGUCGACCUGUACCGCGGCCUGUUCGCCCGGUUCGACCGCGACGGCGACGGCGCCGUCGACCGUGAGGAGUUCCGCGCCGAGAUGAAGGAGGUGAUGCUCGCCGUCGCCAGCGGCCUCGGCUUCCUCCCCGUUCAGAUGGUCGUCGAGGAAGGCAGCUUCCUCAAGAGGGCCGUCGAGAGGGAGCUCGCCAAAGCUGCCUGAUCAUCGCC